UUUUUUUUUUUUUUGCGGGAAACGACAUAGGCCAUCUAAAUGGGAUGCAAUCGAGUGAAGGUGAAAACUCCGGAGUUCACUCGAGAACAAAGAGACUGCUGAGAACAAGAAAUGGAGGCCGGUGUACGGAGUAUGGUUUGGUUACAGACCGAUAAGAUGUCUCUUCAGACAUGGUCUGCUACCAUCACCAAGACUUUGCAACGGAAGAUAUAACAGAGAAAAUGACAUAAGUGGCUACAGGAAAUGAGAAGGGCCGUGUGAAAGCAAAAAAAAUUGGGGAGAUUCAGCCUCCGCGAAACCUGACCGCCAUUCCCCUUUGUUGCAUUGGACAUAUUCUUCUGGGAAGAUGAGAACCAAGUGCCGUGACCAUGGUUGCUAUCCCCUACAGCCUGAGCAUGCAGAGCUUAAUUAUUACUUUACAAUACAAAAAAAUAGCAGGGCGCAGAAAGUAGGCGAAAGACGAAGCAAGCUGUACCUCCACAGAUCGGUCUCCACCAUCCUCCAGGCAUUUUAAAUCCGGUUGCGGUCGAAGUUCUGCUCGUCUGAAUACAGAUUUCAUGCCAUUGACAUGCGCAAUGCCAUGUCCCAUGUACGUACGUACCAGACUGGAAUUCAGUAUGGUUUGCAUAAUCAAAGUGUACUUCUUUUAAUCUAUAUAUCUGGAUGGAUGAGAACAAAAGGUUUGUGUUUGGAUUCCUAGUCAUACACCACCACUUUACCCUUGUUACUCAUGAUCAAAGUGCAAGCGCAUUCACAAAAAAUGGUCUCUAACCAAACAGCUGUGAAAACAUGGCUCACACAAAAUUUGAAUUGCCAAUGGUGGCCUGUCCCACAUGCCAUAGAUGUAAGAGGGGAUCAUUACUUCACAAAAAGUUUGGUCACCCACCUGUUCUGGCAAAAAGUAGGCAACAAUCCUGCAAAAAUAAACAAAUCCACAGGCCAUGUCAAACGCUGGCAGUUAGAACCAAUCCCAAAUGGUGGUCAAAUUGCUUUGAGUAUCACGAAAACUGGCAUGGUCUGCUGGGAUUUGCAAAUAAAGAAUGGUAUAAGUUGAUAUGCAUACUCAUGUUGAACACAAGGAAACAAAAAAAUAGGAUUUCUUUACUUACCAGGCCAAUAAAUGACGAGUCCAUAACAGAGCCAAAAAACAGAUAUGCACCAGGAUGAACAAGAUCAUAUACUACAUUGGGUGCUGCACUCGCCUAAAGAAAAGGAUGACAAGUGGGGUUCAGUCCAAAUGCAACAAUGGAUUAUUAUUAAUUUUUUGAAAAAUUGUGGUGUUCUUCCAUUUAGAUAGUCAAUGGCUCAGUAUAGGCUUGAAGGUUUAGAUGCCCAAAGCUGGUAAAAACACAAACACGUAUGUUUAGCUUCCUUGUUGUGUUUUCUAUCAACUAAACAGUCAGUGUAAGAUCCACGCUCCAUAUGACUCAUGUUGCUCUUACAAAAACAAGUAGAGGAAACUGUAUGACGGCUCAUGUAUACUCUUACCUGCAAACAGGCAAGAACCACUACCUAUAAGCUUCUACCUUUGUAUAGCUGAUAUUGGGGCUUCAGACAACACAUACUCAUGAACUCCAGAGCCUACUUGCAGGUCACAUUGUUGUGGAUGGCAUUGCCAGUCUGCUAUAUCCACUGUCAGUUUGUUCUGCUCUACAUCACCAGAAAUCACCACAAGAGCAGGCACCAGAUUUGAAGUGGUGGAACCUGCUGCAGUCUCGCAUGAUGAUCUCCCUGUCCUCAACCGCCGACACCAUCUUCAUCACCACAUGGCAGUCCCCACAGACCCGCAGGUUUUUGACAAUCUGAAGGGGCGUCCCUGGUGGCGUAGCUAUCAGACCGAAGGCAAGAGCCAGCCGCUCACUGUGCGUGACCAGCAUGGCUUCCUUCUGCUCUUGUUCCAUGUCAUGGAGCACAAAGCUCGUGUUCGGGCAGUAACCCUCCUGCUUCAACCUGGCUGUCAUCGCCUUCAGCUUUGUGUAUAUCUGGUCGGACAGACGGUGCGAUUUAUCGGAGGCUAUAAAGGAAUGGACCUUGUUCUUGAUCUGAAUCCAGCUGGAUCCAGCUUCCUUCUUCACCUUUUUAGAAUCCAUGAGCUUCCUCACUUCAUCCCUCUCUUUCCACUUCCCUGCGGACGCAUAGAUGUUGGAGAGCAGCACGUAUGUAGCCGAAUCGAGCGGCUCAAGCGAUAGCAGCUUCUCUGCGGCCAGCUUCCCAAGCUCAACAUUCUUGUGAACUCUGCAUGCGCCUAGCAGUGUGCGCCAUACCAUUGCACCCGCUGGGAACGGCAUGCCUCCGAUAAGGUCCAUUGUUUCAUCCAACUUGCCUGCGCGGCUGUAGAGAUCCACCAUGCACGCAUAAUGCUCCAUGGUGGGACUGAUCUUGUGGUCUCUAACCAUGGAAUCGAAGUAUCGCUGGCCUUCUUGUACAAGUCCAGCAUGAGUGCAUCCUAUGAUAACCGCAAGGAAUGUGACACCAUCCAUCUCGACGCCCGCAGCUUCCAUCUGACGGAAUGUAUCAAGGGCCUCCUUGCUGUAACCGUGCUGCGCAUACCCUGAUAUCAUCGAGUUCCAUGACACCAAGUCUCUCUCUGUCUGCCUCUCAAAGACACUUCGAGCACUGUCAAUGCUCCCUUUUCUUGCAUACAUGCUGACAAGUGCGCUGCCCACGCAGAUAGCGUCCUGGUAUCUGUAUUUGAUCGAAACAGCGUGGAACUGCCUACCCUGGUCAACGCCAGCGGUGGGACUAGCACAUGCAUCGAUGACACUAGAGAUAGUGAACUCAUUUGGCUUCAUGCCUUGCAUGGACAUCUCCAUGAACACAUUUGUGGCACCAUCGCAGUCGCCAGCUUGGGAAUAGCACGACAACAUUGCAGACCAUGCAACAACGUCCUUCUGGUCAAUGGUUUCAAAUAUAGAGAGGGCUUCUUCAGUGCUUCCAAGCUUUGAGUAUGAGGCAAGAAGUGCAGUUCCGACAGAUGGUGCAUGCUGGUAGUUGGUUUUGAUGAUCUGCGCAUGAAUCUGGGGAGGCAAGACUGGCAGUGAUGUUGUGAGCAUCGUCGAGUAGGUGAACUCAUUUGGCUUGACAUUGUCUUCUCUCAUUCUGCUAAAGAGUGAGGCAGCAAGAGGAAUGUCACCGUUCUGAAUGCACCCGCCUAUCAUAGCAGUCCAUGAAACGACACUCUGCGAUCCUGACAUCAACAAGAAUAUGUUGAAAGCAUCAUCCAGUUCGCCGCACUUGCUGUAGGCAUCCAUAAUGGCUGUCAUGACAUUGCCAUCUGAACUGAACCCAUGUUUUAGCACACAGCUGUGGAGCUGCCGUGCCAGGGCCAACUGUUUGAGGUUUGCACAUAGCUUGAUCACCGUCGAGUAGGUCGACUGUGACAGCUUCGCCAUGCUUGCUCGCGAGUCAUGGAACAGCUCCAGGGCCUCCACCUCACACCCGUUCAACAGAAGGCCUGCCAUCAACGUGUUCCACGACACCAUGUCCCUGGUCUCCAUCCCACAGAACACAGCCUUGGCUUCUUCAACCAGUCCGCACUUCGCGUACAUGUUCAUCAGGGAAUUACACACGAAAACUGUCGAGCGGCAUCCGAACUUCACCGACUGAGCAUGCACGCGCCGCCCAAGGUCGAGCGCGCCCUGGCCCGCCACCGCGGAGAGGACGCUCGUGAACGUGAACGGGUUCGGCCAUAUCCCCUCGGCGCGCAUCCUGAAGAAGAGCGCCAUGGCGUCCGAGUGCGCGCCGCCCUGGGCGUAACCGGUGAGCAACGACGUCCACGUGCCGACGUUCCUCUGCGGCAUCCCCUCGAACACCAGCCUGGCAUCCUCCACGCCGCCGCACUUCGUGUACACGUCGACGAGGGCCGUGCCGACGCCGACGUCGGCCCGGUCGAGCCCGCACUUGACGCACAGGCAAUGCAGCUGCUCCCCGGCGGCCCUGCAGCAGCCCGGCAUCGCCCCGCACGCCUUGAGCGCGCAGGACAGCAUGGCGCCGUCGACGCGUUCGCCGCCGUGGCGCCGCGCGGCCGAGAAAUGGCCCAGCGCCUCCCGCCCCAUCCCGCGCCGCGCGCAUUCGACGAGGGCGUCCCGGCUGGAGCCGGAGCUUCCCCCCGCCGCGGCGUCCCGGUCGGGACUUCCGUCGAACGCCCGGCGGGCGCUCCGGGUGUUGGGGCGAUCGACGUCAUGCUCCUCCACCCGGGCCGACGAGGCGCGCGUGGCCAGCCGCUGGCGGCACGCGAAGGCCCGGGGGAGCGCCGGGAGCGCCGUCCUCAGCGCCAUGCUACCUCGCUUAGUCGCCGGAGCACAUGGCGGCGAGCCGGCGACGCGCGUGGCGGUGGGGAGUGGGAGUGGGAGUGAGGAGAGUCGGGGCUGGACCAGACCAGUCGGUUUGACUUCGGCUCCCGGCGCCUGGGUCGAUAUGGGUUGGGUGCGACCGGACCCGGGCCCGGCCCAGACCGGACGAGCCCAAACAGAAUGGCCACCACCUCCGCCUACGCAGUGGCGGCCGGCGGCGGGGAGGCGUCGCCGUGCCGGGGCGCCCUUCUCAGGCCACGGCCUCCCCCGCACCGCCUCGCGUUCCUCUCCCGGGCGCCCGCUCGUCGGGCCUCGAUCUCGCUGCCGCCGGGGCCUCGCCGGGCGGGUCUGACAGCGGCGACCGCGGAGGGGAGGGCGGGGACGGGGAUGGAGGACGAGGAGGAGGGGCCGGCGUGGGUGGAGCUGGAGCCGAUCAGCGGCGAGGAGCAGCUGGACCGGGCCCUCGCCGAGGCCCAGCAGCGCGGCGUCCCCAUCGUCGUGUUCUGGUAAAGGUUUCCUCUGAAUUUUAACUAGCUCCCGAUUAGGACAGGAUGAAAUGGGUUAUCAUGAAUCAUGCUCCAGCUAACUUGGAUUAGGCUUCAAUGCUUCACGGUCAUGUGGCCUUAUGGGGGUAGAAAUCUCGCAUCUUGGAUGAAAAGGGGCUCAUCUAGUUACCCUGUCUAGGGCUCUUGGUAGCUCUUGGUCAGCUCUGAGUGGUGAUUGGAGAGCUCACCUUCAGUUUUACCCCACAAAGCGCGUUGUCGUGUGCGAUCCUUCUAGCGGCUUGUUUCAGUACCGGCGUCUAAACUCUGCCAAAUCUUGGUGGUUGUGUGAUGUAUACUUGGAAGACUCGUUUUCCCGAAACGCAACAAUAAGCAGCUCACCCUGCACAUUCCAUUUUGCUGUUGUUGUAGCCAGUAGUUAGGUUCAGUGUUUCUUCUCCUGGUUCACAUCUUAGGCGGAUCCGCAGGUCGCUUACAUGUAUUAUGUUUACCACCUAAAUACAGUAUCAUUGCUACAAGAUGUUUCCUCAUAUAUAUACUCUUGUAGAAAAGUACUUCAAUAGUAAUGUGCAGUUUAUCACAUUUUUACAUCAGUUUUGACAGUAGGUUCCGUAAAUGGAUUGGCAGCUGUAUUUCAAGUAGUUGUCUGACAUAGUGAUAACUGUCAAAUUAUCCCACGGUGUCUUACAGUCUGGGUUGAGGAUAAAUACCAGCAUUUGCAAUAUGUAGGACGGCGAGUUGGUGCAGGAAAUGCAUAUAUCUGAAGCCUAAGCUGGAAAAGUUGGCAGCAGAAUACUAUCCGAGGUUAGAGCUUUGGUUGCCAUGUUGACAAAGUACUGCACCUCUGGAGUUGUUAUCGACAAACUGAUGAUCUCUGUCAUGAUUUGCUCUGCAGAAUCCGGUUUUACUGUGUCGACGUCAACGCUGUUCCACAGAAGCUCGUGAAUCGUGCAGGAGUAACGGUAAGUAUCCGCCAUGUAUUGAGUUGGUUCUGCGGUGCUUGUCGCUCAUUAACGAACAAUAGCAGAACCUUUUCUUGGCACUCAAGCGUGCUUUCUUGUUAGCAAACAGUCCAAACCCGUUUUCAUUUUUGUAUCUUUUGUUGGAACUUCUCGGCGUUCUUUCUUGGUCUCUGUUCCCUAUUUUGGAGGAAAUGGUUCCUCUGUGUUGCCACUGGAAACUUUGCUUUCAGUUGCCGGCUUCCUGCAACUUGUACCUACUACCCAAGCGUUUCUUUCUUAGCCGUAUGCACAUAUCCUGUAGCUUUGGUAACAACAAAGCGUACCAAGGAUGGCCCCAUCAUGCGUUUGGCUUCAUCGUUAUCUUGUCCUGCAACAAUUAAAUACAGAUUGGCCUAUAUUGGGAUCUCAAGUGGAUAUAUUUAUCUAAGCGCUAAUGCCUUCUUUUGUCCAAUCUAUGUGAUCCUUUAUGCGGGACUCGAGCAGAAGAUGCCUUCCAUACAGGUACAAGUAAAGCUUGUUUCUUUCUUUAUGGUCUCCAUCUCGGCGUUGUGUAUCCUGAGGCCGCUGUUUCUUGUCCUGUAAAGAUGUGGAGCGACUCCCGGAAGCAGGCCGAGGUGAUCGGCGGGCACGAGUCGUGGAUGGUGAUCGAGGACGUCCGGAGGAUGGUCGAGCAGGAGGAAUGAAUGAUCCAACGCGGCGAUGGUUCCCGUGACAAUACCGGCCUUUCACCGUGGGAAAAUGGAGAAAACAAGAUAAGAGGCGGAAUGGAGAAAACAAGAUCGAGAUUGAGCUAUGUAUGUCCAGUUUUGUAUAAUCAUUCAUCGCGCACGGACGCCUAGGGUUCUUGGAGAAAGGGGGCUUCUCUUGCUGGGGUCCUCUCUAGGAUUUAGAGGAUUGGAGGGGCAUGCCCUUGAUGUAUCUAUCUAUUUUGAGUUUCUGGGAUCAGAAGGUUUUCCGUUAGUCAUCAUGUAGCAAUAAAAUAUCCAGUCAAUGACCUUGCAGGGAAUUAGAAUACAUGCUGGGUGCUUUGGUGCCAAUUAUUCCGUGGUGUCCACUUUGAACUAGUUGCACAGAUGGAUAAACAGAAUAUAAUUGCAAGGCUUUUAUUUGUUAGAAAGAAAUAGAGUUACUGUUUUUUUUUCAGGAUUAGCAUACAAUUAUGUCUCCCUCUUGGCCUGAAUCAGUCAAAACACAAGAGUGUGCUUGCUAAUUAGAGAUGGGUAGGAUGAGUAUUUUAAUUUGCAAGUGGUGGAAGCAGCAGCAGGCUCCCUUGUACUACUACUGAGCUCAAUUAGUCCAGCCAUGGAUGCUUUAAUAGGAGUAUUUAGGUUAGCUGCCCAUGGAUAUAUGUUCAUACGUACUUUUCUAAAAAAAAAAAUAUUUCCAUACUAUAUUCUCUCCAACCACAAACAGUAGCUGGAUGUUUUCUUUGCCUAUAGUAUUUCUUAAUUAAUAUGAUUGCAACCUCAGCACCUUCUUGUGUCUGGCAAUUUUUUUAUUAAAUGAAAUUACCCACUACCUUUCUUUACACCCUGUAAUUCAGGAUGGAUGGCAACAGACCCCAGAAGGACUGUCUGUCUGUUGGUUUCACUUUUCUUUGACUAUANNNNNNNNNNNNNNNNNNNNNNNNNNNNNNNNNNNNNNNNNNNNNNNNNNNNNNNNNNNNNNNNNNNNNNNNNNNNNNNNNNNNNNNNNNNNNNNNNNNNNNNNNNNNNNNNNNNNNNNNNNNNNNNNNNNNNNNNNNNNNNNNNNNNNNNNNNNNNNNNNNNNNNNNNNNNNNNNNNNNNNNNNNNNNNNNNNNNNNNNNNNNNNNNNNNNNNNNNNNNNNNNNNNNNNNNNNNNNNNNNNNNNNNNNNNNNNNNNNNNNNNNNNNNNNNNNNNNNNNNNNNNNNNNNNNNNNNNNNNNNNNNNNNNNNNNNNNNNNNNNNNNNNNNNNNNNNNNNNNNNNNNNNNNNNNNNNNNNNNNNNNNNNNNNNNNNNNNNNNNNNNNNNNNNNUGGUUUAUAUUGGCGCCGUUUAUAUUUAUCAAAAUCAAUUUUUUACAUCUAUUCAUAUCAAAUCAAUUUAUGUACUAGGUUAAACAUUUAAAAAAAAUCAGAAGGCCAAUGAUUUUUCUUCAUCGGGUCCACGUGUAAGGUUUCAGAUGGACGGCGGCGCCCACCUGUCAGUCGCAGCCCCAACAGAAAGGAUAGGGACAGGCCAGGGCGCCCGAUGCGCAGUCAGCCCACGAGAUAUCCGUUUCGAGCAUGAGAUUUCUGACGAGGAGCAGUUCGUUACGAGCACGCUGUGAGAUUCGUGCGGGGUUCCCAUCGGACGGCGCACGCGGCCCGCAGAGGCGGCCAGAUGGGUCCCCUGGUCGGGAACACGCACAAAAGUCACACGUCGCCCUCGCUGCCUCAUUGACCUCCCUUCCACGCGGCAGCCGCUUUUACAAAAUUUCCACACGUCCGAGUGUGAUUUAUGUCUUUUGGUUGCAGCAUAGCAAUUUUGGAGGACAACGAUUUUUUCGUGCUACUUUUGACAAAAAAGCAACAAGAGGAGCAAAGCAGUUCUCUCUCUUUCUUCUUCUCUUUUCUCCGGUGAGUGUGAGUAAGAGUUGAUUUCAACAUUCCUGCAAUUCUCUUCCUCUGUGCCCCUAUAUGCAUAGCGAUACCCGUGGUUUUUGUUCAUGUAGUAUUCAAAAUGAUAUUCUCAAAAAAAUAAUCAAAAUGAUACUAUGAUUUUGCUUUGUUUGUAGCCAAAAAUUGUCUAGUCAAUAUUUUGGCAAGUUAACAUUCGACAAAUUGUGUCGCGCACUUAUAAGCUAAGGAAGGUUGCAGGAAUGAAUUAUGCAAAACAUGGUUCCAUAUACCUUCGGUUUUUGUGGUAUGGAUGCUUUAAACUUGGACUUAACUAAGAUCACUGAAUAAAUGUAACACUUCCAUCUCAAUAAAAUUACAUUUGGCAAUGCUUAAAUUUGCCUACAAUUGCAACCUUUACAGAGAUUGGCAAAGCAGUUUGGUAGGCAACCAAUUGAUAGCCAAUGUUUUUGGCUUUGUCAACACGUGGUAAAGUGCGAACCAAUCUGUGGUUGAAUGCUUAGGAGGACUAUGGUAUCCCAGCCAACCAAAACAAGUCCUAGACUUGACAUGGUGCUCGUAUUUUUCUAGAUUUACUCUAGGUCUUCCGGCGAUGUGCAUUCAGUGAGAGGCGACACUCCGUCGACUACGAAGGCGUCUGUGGCGACUUCGUCAAUAUCAAAAUGAUGUGUCGACUCAGUCUCUCAGAGGUGCUCAUAGGGGUAAGGUGUGUGUGCGUGCGUUUGCCGCGCAAGAUCUUUGGUUUUCCCCUGGAAUAGAUGAAAAAAGUGGAUCGCUUCUUAUAUACUCGCUCAUAAAGAUUAUUCUCUAUCUAUAGUUCAGGGCCUACUAGAAGUAGAAGUUAGCUCUAGUGCAAUCCUUACCGACAAAAAAAGAUUGUAGUCAUGUUGAUAAUAGUCGAGUGACAUUACUUCGUCGGUCGUAACUAAGGAAUCUGUUAGAAAUGUUUUGAAAUGAAUAUUGUUCUCUCUUUGAUCAAGGAUUGAUAUAUGAAAAGAAGUGGAGUUUGAAAGAGGGAACGGUUUAGUGUAUGCUCGAGUAUGUCGACUUUGAUCGUAGUGUGUUAAACAAAACACACAGUAAAGCCAGAAUUUAGCAUCAAACCAAUCAUUAUUUAAAUAAAUGAAAAAGAAAGAUACAGGUGGACAUCCAUGCAUCGCUCCUGUGCAAGCGACAUGGGCGGACGCCCCCAACCCUAGCCGCCGCCACCGAAAAUUUGCUCGUCAUUGGCCUCCCCUAUUCUGGUUCCCUCUCGCGGCGCUUUAAGGCACCUGGCGACCGUAGUGUUGUGCUUCAUGCGCUUGCCCGCUCUUUGUUGUAGCUCUCGCGACAGUCUGCCCCAUUGACCUCCCCUAUCUUGCUUCCCUCCUGCGACGCUCUGAAGCAUCCCAACGGCAACAGCACCGUGGCGUUCGUGCGCCGGUGAGCGUCCAGGUAGCGGGGGCGUGCCAUUCAUGAUCGGCUCAGCGCAGGGACAUAGGGGGUGCUCUAGGUUGCGUCCUAGUGGUAUCGUGGUCCCGUGUUGUGGUUGGUUGGUCGGGAUAGUGACUGUUGCAAGGAGCUGGUAGUGGGGUGCUUCAUGCACGCGUGCCCGCUCUAUGUCGUACCUCUCNNNNNNNNNNNNNNNNNNNNNNNNNNNNNNNNNNNNNNNNNNNNNNNNNNNNNNNNNNNNNNNNNNNNNNNNNNNNNNNNNNNNNNNNNNNNNNNNNNNNNNNNNNNNNNNNNNNNNNNNNNNNNNNNNNNNNNNNNNNNNNNNNNNNNNNNNNNNNNNNNNNNNNNNNNNNNNNNNNNNNNNNNNNNNNNNNNNNNNNNNNGUACCUCUCGUGACAGUCUGCCCCCCUGGGCUCCCCUAUUUUGGUUCCCUCUUGCAGCGCUCCGAAGCACCCAACGGUCGUAGGAGUGUGGUGUUCAUGCGCCGGUGAGCGUCCAUGUAGCACGGUCGUGCCAUUCACGCUCAGCUCGGUGCAGGUUCAUAGGGGGUGCUCUAGGUUGCGUCCUAUAAGUGUCGUGGUCCUAUGUUGUGGUUGGUUGGCGGGGAUAGUGACUGCUGCAAGGAGCUGGUAGUGGGGCACUUUCAUGUGUGCGUACCCGCUCUCUGUCGUGGCUCUCGUGAAAGUCUGCCCUUUGGCCUCCCCUGUUUUGCUUCCCUCCUGCAGCGCUCCGAAGCACCCAACGGCUGCGGUGCGGUGGCAUUCGUGCACCGGUGAGCAUCCAGGGUAGCGCGUGUAGGGUAACGCAGCAGAAAACAAAAAUAUUCCGACCUACGCACCAGCCCAGGACCACUAUGAAGACUGCAUACAGGGUUUGAUCUUUUUCGUUACCGACUCGUAGCGCAGCAGAAGUAGAGUCGAUGACGAUCGGCGGUGCAGAUCCCACAGCUAGGAUUUACAACCUCCCAACCGCGAGGAUGUAUACCCUCAUCCGCCAUACAGACAGCCCUCCGGGAGGCGAUCGAACAGUCCCCCGGACGGUGUCGCGGACAGCCCUUCGGGAGGACCUUCGAAACUCGAACGGUCACUCGGACAGCCCUCCGGGAGGACCCACAGAACUCGGACCGUCACUUGGACAGCCCUUCGGGAGGCACUCUCGAACAGCCCCUCAGGGCACUAAGAUCGAAACUACGACCUCUCUACAGAGUUGCACACAUACGGUGUCAGCUAUCCGGCAGGGCUUCGCCGUCCAGAACUAGUUCCUGCCGGAACCCAGACAGCCUUUCGGCUCUAUGAAACUAUUUCGCUGGGAGGGAGAGAAGAAGCCAGAUCAUUGCAAUGGCAUUUAUGUGAGAAAGAGUGAGUGUGGAGGGCUGCCCCUCCACCUCUAUUUAUAGGAAAUCCCAAGGGGUAGGGUAGUUUCACACAAAAAACCAAAAUGCACAUGAAUGAAGUCCUUCCACAAGGACCUAGGAGUGAAACCAAUGAACAAGAGGGUCCCCAAGGGGGGAUACCCCAUGUGGCCGGCCACACCCCCAUGAGGGGCCCAAAAAUGGCUCCUAUCCAUCCAUGUCAUCCCCAAGAUCUUUUGGAGCAAAGCCCCAAAAGGUGGUUUUCCAUAAAGUAACCAUAAAGCUGAUUUUCACUAUUCACGACGACAUUUUUCAGCGUCUGUUCGAACUGAAAAUAUUUGUGUGGGCUUAGAACAUUUCCAGUACCCACCAAAAUUAUUUUCAAUGCGUUCCGAAACAAUUUCGGUUUAGUGAUUUUCAUCUGCGAAAAGCAUCUGAAGUGGUUCCGGCAGCUCCGGAGCAUAUCCGGUUAUUAUCCCGGAAAAUUCCAGAAAGCUUCCAGAAUGAUUCUGGCACCCUCCAAGAAUUAUCAGGCAUGUGCCGAAACCAAUUUUAAUUUAUGGUAUCCCCUGAAACAACUUUUCAGUUUCACCGGAACUCAUCCGGUGACCUCUCUCUGCAGAACUUUUCCGCUGUCCGAAACUUUUUCAGUGAUUUUCUCUCAGACUCCCUGUCUAGUAUUCAGCAGACAGAUGACCCUUAAGCGUGUGACCCUAUAGGUUCGGUGAAGUAUAGACAUGACCUGGAACCCCUUCCGAUCAAUGAUCAACAUCGGAGCCGUGGACACCCAUAUUGACCCCUAUACCCACACGAAUGAAUAUUCGAGUGAACCUCCAGUUGCGGUGAGCUAUUCCUGUUGCUUCACGAUAUAUCACAAACACCUGAGGUGAGAUUUAUUGCAUCCCCGUGGGCCAACACUUUGUCCACUAUGCAAGUUACCUCGUUACCGGUUUUGUUCUCUUUUCUCGUUUCGUGUUCCGGCAUCCCCGUGAUCAAAUCACAAAGUGUCUGGCCAGACAAUGAUGGACACCGUAACACCGAGAGGGUCCGAGUAUAUCUCUCCAUCGUCGGAGGAGCAAAUCCCAAUCUCGAGCUAUCAAGUUACUUAACAUACUUUCCCAUGAACCCGUAAGCCGCCGUAAUAGCCAUACAGUUACAGAUGACGUUUAACAAACCCCAAAGUUCAUGAAGCAAGCAUGAAGAAACUCGAUACUCUCAUGGUCUAAUGAAUUAUGCAAACAUUAACUAUCUUUGUGUUAUAAACCAUUAACUUGUGACGAAUGUAUCUCAUAGCAUAACAUCAAUUCGGGUCGAUUCAACACAAAUGUCCUUCCUGACAUUGUGCCCUCAAAGUUGCUUGGCAUAGACAUUCCCAUGAUUGGGAAAACAUAAUCAUCAUGCAACACUUGAGCUAGUCUUAGAGGCACGACUAGGAGUACAUUUUACCGUUUAUUAUUCCACACGUGCAUAUGGGUUCUCCCCUGAGCCUUUAUGGAUAUACGGGCUCGGGAACCACAGCAGUUAUAGCAUGGAACAUAAACAUAAUUAUGAACAGGGAGAUAAUCAAUAACAUUUAUUAUUGCCACUAGGGCAUAUCUCCUACAGCGCGGUCGUGCCAUUCACAAUUGGCUCGGUGCACGUUCAUAUGGGGUGCUCUAGGUUGCGUCCUAGUGGUGUCAUGGUCCUAUGUUGUGGUUGGUUGGCCGAGAUGGUGACUGUUGCGAGGAGCUGGUGGUGGUGUGGGGUGGAGGUUGUCCCGGACUCAGUCCGGAUUUGCUUGUCCACGCCAUGGAUGGGCUGGAUCCACUUGGAUCUAGCCUAUGUUGGCUCGCCAGCGGUUGGGUUGUGGGUGGUGGCGGGGCUUCCAUGGCCUUAUGUGUUGGGGUGGUGCAGGUGAGUAGUCUACCUAGUUCCAAAAACGGCGAUUUGGAUGUGUGUGCUCAACUCGGUGAAAGUUGUGCUCUGACCAAAGCCAAUGACAAUGAUGCCAUGGGUGCCGUGAACCUUUUUAAGGCGUCGUUGUAUGUUGUUUUCGCCACCCACUUUAUGACUUUGGGGGAACCCUGGUUCCAGGUUCACCAGAAACAAAUGAUGGCGUUGCAAUCUGCGUCACAACCCUUCAUGAAGGCAUCGUCUAGAUAUCAACUCGGUUGUCAUGUUGGGUAGCUAUUCGCUAUGAGGAUGUCGACAGUGGUGGUGCAACCGACUUGGGGUCAACGGUGGUGUGCUCUUCUUCAUGUGUUACUCUUCGGAUGCCCAUCGUGUGUUAUAUUGUCCUCUUGUUGUGCGUGCUCAAGACCCUCCCACGAUUGUUGUAGUGUUGUGACGAGCUUUGGAUUUGGUGUUGUCUUGGUUCACCUUAGCCUAGGGACAGAGAAUUGAUGCCUCCCAAACGUGUUAAUUGAUCUGUCUUCCUGUGGCGGAGCUUCCAGUCAAAGUUUGUGUUCAAUGCCACUCAUUGAUUGUGGAUGCUCCUGUCUUGCCUCGUGUCCUCGGGGGUUUGGUAUGCAUGCUGGUGCGAUGCGUUAGAUUAUUUGCAAAGUUUUGGCAUUAUGAUCCCUCGAUGACACCCCACAUCUACUAUUAGUGUUUCUCGUGGUGAUGGUCUUUCUGUCUGCUAGCUUUUUCGAUAAAGGGUGUCUUUUAUUAACUGAUAAUGAAGCAUCAAGGGGAUACAUACAUAAUGAGUACACACAAUCUCUGCACAAUUGGGAUGCACACAACCAACACCAAUGCACACACCCACAAAAGAUCACACUAGCAAAGAGCAACGUCAUAGACUACCAAAGCUAUGCCUUGGCGGAGGGAGACAAAAAAAACCUAAAGCGAUCAAAAUAACUAUCAACGGUAUACAACAUGGACCACUCGCACCAACUAUCCCUUGACAACACAAGGACCAUGUGAAAGGUGUUGGGGAACGUAGCGGAAAUUCAAAAUUUUCUACGCAUCACCAACAUCAAUCUAUGGAGUAAUCUAGCAACGAGGGGAAGGGGAGUGCAUCUACAUACCCUUGUAGAUCGCGAUGCGGAAGCGUUGCAAGAACGCGGAUGAAGGAGUCGUACUCGUAGCGAUUCAGAUCGCGGUUGAUUCCGAUCUAAGCGCCGAACCACGGCGCCUCCGCGUUCAACACACGUGCAGCCCGGUGACGUCUCCCACGCCUUGAUCCAGCAAGGAGAGAGGGAGAGGUUGGGGAAGACUCCGUCCAGCAGUAGCACGACGGCGUGGUGGUGAUGGAGGAGCGUGGCAAUCCUGCAGGGCUUCGCCAAGCACCGCGGGAGAGGAGGAGGGAGAGGGGUAGGGCUGCGCCAAGAGAGAGAUGUUCUCAUGUCUCUGGCAGCCCCAAAACCCCCACUAUAUAUAGGGGAGGGGAAGGGGCUGCGCCCCCAUCUAGGGUUCCCCCCCCCCAAGGGGUGCGGCCAGCCCUAGAUGGGAGUUGGAGGGGCGGCCAAGGGGGAGAGAGGGGGCCGCACCACUAGGUGGGCCUUAGGCCCAUCUGAGCCUAGGGUUUCCCCCCUUUCCCCUUCCCUGCGCCUUGGGCCCCUUGUGGGAGGCGCACCAGCCCACCUAGGGGCUGGUCCCUUCCCACACUUGGCCCACGCAGCCCUCUGGGGCCGGUGGCCCCACCUGGUGGACCCCCGGGACCCUCCCGGUGGUCCCGGUACGUUACCGAUAGCACCCGAAACUUUUCCGGUGACCAAAACAGGACUUCCCAUAUAUAAAUCUUUACCUCCGGACCAUUCCGGAACUCCUCGUGAUGUCCGGGAUCUCAUCCGGGACUUCGAACAACAUUCGGUAACCAUGUAUAUCUAUUCCCUAUAACCCUAGCAUCAUCGAACCUUAAGUGUGUAGACCCUACGGGUUCGGGAACCAUGCAGACAUGACCGAGACGUUCUCCGGCCAAUAACCAACAGCGGGAUCUGGAUACCCAUGUUGGCUCCCACAUGUUCCACGAUGAUCUCAUCGGAUGAACCACGAUGUCGGGGAUUCAAUCAAUCCCGUAUACAAUUCCCUUUGUCUACCGGUAUGGUACUUGCCCGAGAUUCGAUCGUCGGUAUCCCGAUACCUUGUUCAAUCUCGUUACCGGCAAGUCUCUUUACUCGUUCCGUAACACAUCAUCCCGUGAUCAACUCCUUGGUCACAUUGUGCACAUUAUGAUGAUGUCCUACCGAGUGGGCCCAGAGAUACCUCUCCGUUUACACGGAGUGACGAAUCCCAGUCUCGAUUCGUGCCAACCCAACAGACACUUUCGGAGAUACCUGUAGUGCACCUUUAUAGCCACCCAGUUACGUUGUGACGUUUGGUACACCCAAAGCAUUCCUACGGUACCCGGGAGUUGCACAAUCUCAUGGUCUAAGGAAAUGGUACUUGACAUUAGAAAAGCUUUUAGCAAACGAACUACACGAUCUUGUGCUAGGCUUAGGAUUGGGUCUCGUCCAUCACAUCAUUCUCCUAAUGAUGUGAUCCCGUUAUCAACGACAUCCAAUGUCCAUGGUCAGGAAACCGUAACCAUCUAUUGAUCAACGAGCUAGUCAACUAGAGGCUUACUAGGGACAUGGUGUUGUCUAUGUAUCCACACAUGUAUCUAAGUUUCCUAUCAAUACAAUUCUAGCAUGGAUAAUAAACGAUUAUCAUGAACAAGGAAAUAUAAUAAUAACCAAUUUAUUAUUGCCUCUAGGGCAUAUUUCCAACAGUCUCCCACUUGCACUAGAGUCAAUAAUCUAGUUCACAUCACCAUGUGAUUAACACUCACAGGUCACAUCACCAUGUGACCAACAUCCAAAGAGUUUACUAGAGUCAACAAUCUAGUUCACAUCACUAUGUGAUUAACACUCAAUGAGUUCUGGUUUGAUCAUGUUAUGCUUGUGAGAGAGGUUAUUAGUCAACGGGUCUAAACCUUUCAGAUCCGUGUGUGCUUUACGAAUAUCUAUGUCAUCUUAUGGAUGCUACCACACGCUACUUGGAGCCAUUUCAAAUAACUGCUCUACUAUACGAAUCCGGUUUACUACUCAGAGUCAUCCGGAUUAGUGUCAAAGUUCGCAUCGACGUAACCCUUUACGACGAACUCCUUUUCACCUCCAUAAUCGAGAAAAUUCCUUAGUCCACUAGAUACUAAGGAUAAGUUCGACCGUUGUCAUGUGAUCCAUUCCCGGAUCACUAUUGUACCCCUUGACCAACUCAUGGCAAGGCACACUUCAUGUGCGGUACACAGCAUAGCAUACUGUAGAGCCUACGCCUAAAGCAUAGGGGACGACCUUCGCCCUUUCUCUCUCUUCUGCUGUGGUCACGUCUUGAGUCUUACUCAAUACUCACACCUUGUAACACAGCCAAGAACUCCUUCUUUGCUGAUCUAUUUUGAACUCUUUCAAAAUCAUGUCAAGGUGUGCGUUCUUUGAAAGUAUCAUCAGGCGUCUUGAUCUAUCUCUAUAGAUCUUGAUGCCCAAUAUGUAAGCAGCUUUAUCCAGGUCUUCCUUUGAAAAACUCCUUUCAAACAACCCUUUAUGCUUUCCAGAAAUUUUACAUCAUUUCGGAUCAACAAUAUGUCAUUCACAUAUACUUAUCAGAAAUGUUGUAGCGCUCCCACUCACUUUAUUGUAAAUACAAGUUUCUAACAAACUUUGUAUAAACCCAAAAACUUUGAUCACUACAUCAAAGCGUAUAUUCUGACUCCGAGAUGCUUGCUCUAGUCCAUGGAAGGAUUGCUGGAGCUAGCAUACCUUUUAGCAUCCUUAGGAUCGACAAAACCUUUCUGAUUGUAUCACAUACAACCUUUCCUUACGAAAACUGGUAAGGAAACUUGUUUUUGACAUCCAUCUGCCAGAUUUCAUAAAUGCAGCUAAUGCUAACAUGAUUCCGACUGACUUAAGCAUCGCUACGGAUGAGAAAAUCUCAUCGUAGUCAACUCCUUGAACUUGUGAAAAUACUCUUUGCCACAAGUCGAGCUUCAUAGACGGUAACAUUACCGUCCAUGUCCGUCUUCUUCUUAAAGAUCCAUUUAUCUCAAUGGCUUGCCGAUCAUCGGGCAAGUUCACCAAAGUCCAUGCUUUGUUCUGAUACAUGGAUCCUAUCUCGGAUUUCAUGGCUUCUAACCAUUUGUCGGAAUAUGGGCCCACCAUCGCUUCUCCAUAGCUCGUAGGUUCAGUAUUGUCUAACAACAUGAUAUCUAAGACAGGAUCACGUACCACUCUGAAGUAGCACGCAUCCUCGUCGUCCUACGAGGUUUGGUAGUGACUUGAUCCGAAGUUUCAUGAUCACUAUCAUAAGCUUCCACUUCAAUUGGUGUAGGUGCCACAGGAACAACUUCCUGUGCCCUGCUACACACCAGUUGAAGUCAUGGUUCAAUAACCUCAUCAAGUCUCCACCAUCCUCCCACUCAAUUCUUUCGAGAGAAACUUUUCCUCGAGAAAGGACUCGUUUCUAGAAGCAAUUACUUUUGCUUCCAGAUCUGAAAUAGGAGGUAUACCCAACUGUUUUGGGUAUUCUAUGAAGAUGCAUUUAUCCGCUUUGGGUUCGACCUUAUCAGCCUGAAACUUUUUCACAUAAGCAUCGCAGCCCCAAACUUUUAAGAAACGACAACUUAUGUUUCUCUAAACGGUGUCGUCUCAACGGAAUUGCGUGGUGCCCCUUUUAAAGUGAAUGCGUUAUCUCUAAUGCCUAACCCAUAAACGAUAGUGGUAAUUCGAUAAGAGACAUCAUGGUAUGCACCAUAUCCAAUAGGGUGCAGUUAUGAUGUUCGGACACACCAUCACACUGUGGUGUUCCAGGCAGUAUUAAUUGUGAAACACUUUCCACAAUGUCUUAAUUAUGUGCCAAACUCGUAACUCAGAUACUCAUCUCUAUGAUCAUAUCACAGAAAUUUUAUCCUCUUGUCACGACGAUCUUCAACUUCACUCUGAAAUUACUUGAACCUUUCAAUAAUUCAGACUUGUGUUUCAUCAAGUAAAUACACUCAGCAUCUACUCAAAUCAUCUGUCAAGUAAGAACAUAACGAUAUCCACUGCAUGCCUCAGCACUCAUUGGACUGCAUACAUCAAAAUGUAUUACUUCCAACAAGUUGCUCUCUUGUUCUAUCUUACUGAAAACGAGGCCUUUCAGUCAUCUUGCCCAUGUGGUAUGAUUUGCAUGUCUCAAGUGAUUCAAAAUCAAGUGAGUCGAAACGAUCCAUCUGCAUGGAGUUUCUUCAUGCAUAUAUACCAAUAGACAUGGUUUGCAUGUCUCAAUCUUUUCAAAACGAGUGAGUCCAAAGAUCCAUCUACAUGGAGCUUCUUCAUGCGUUCUAUACCAAUAUGACUCAAAUGGCAGUGCCACAAGUAUGUGGUACUAUCAUUACUAUUUUAUAUCUUUUGGCACGAACAUGUGUAUCACUGCGAUCGAGAUUAAUUUUAGGUGCAAGACCAUUGAAGGUAUUAUUCAAAUAAACAGAGUAACCAUUAUUCUCCUUAAACGAAUAACCGUAUUGCGAUAAACAUAAUCCAAUCAUGUUUAUGCUCAACGCAAACACCAAAUAACAAUUAUCUAGGUUUAACACCAAUCUCGAUGGUAGAGGGAGCAUGCGAUGCUUGAUCACAUCAACCUUGGAAACACUUCCAACACAUAUCGUCAUCUCACCUUUAGCUAGUCUCCGUUUAUUCCGCAGCUUUUAUUUCGAGUUACUAACACUUAGCAACCGAACCGGUAUCUAAUACCCUGGUGCUGCUAGGAGUACUAGUAAAGUACACAUUCAUAUAAUGUAUAUCCAAUAUACUUCUGUCGACCUUGCCUGCCUUCUCAUCUACCAAGUAUCUAGGGUAGUUCUGCUUCAGUGACCGUUCCCCUCAUUACAGAAGCACUUAGUCUCGGGUUUGGGUUCAACCUUGGGAUUCUCCACUAGAGCAGCAAAUGAUUUGCUGUUUCAUGAAGUAUCCCUUUUGCCCUUGCCCUUCUAGAAACUAGUGGUUUUACUAACCAUCAACAAUUGAUGCUCCUUCUUGAUUUCUACUUUCGCGGUGUCAAACAUCGCGAGUUGCUCAAGGAUCAUCAUGUCUAUCCCUGAUAUGUUAUAGUUCACCACGAAGCUCUAAUAGCUUGGUGGCAGUGACUAUGGAGAACCAUCACUAUCUCAUCUGGAAGAUUAACUCCCACUCGAUUCAAGCGAUUGUGGUACUCAGACAAUCUGAGCACAUGCUCAACGAUUGAGCUUUUCUCCCUUAGUCUGCAGGCUUAAGAAACUUGUCAGAGGUCUCAUACCUCUUGACGUGGGCACUGGUCUGAAAUCCCAAUUUCAGUCUUCGGAACAUCUCAUAUGUUCUGCGACGUUUCAAAAACGUCUUUGGUGCCACAAUUCUAAACCGUUAGCAUUACGCACUGAACUAUCACGUAGUCAUCAAAACGUGUAUGUCAGAUGUUUCGCAACAUCCACAGACGACGCUGAGGUUCAGCACACCGAGCGGUGCAUUAAGGGCAUAAGCCUUCUGUGCAGCAAUGAGGACAAUCCUCAGUUCACGGACCUAGUCCGCAUAAUUGCUACUAUCAACUUUCAACUAAAUUUUCUCUAGGAACAUAUCUUAAACAGUAGAACUAAAGCGUAAGCUAUGACAUAAUUUGCAAAGACCUUUUGACUAUGUUCAUGAUAAUUAAGUUCAUCUGAUUAUUUAAUGAACUCCCACUCAGAUAAACAUCCCUCUAGUCAUCUAAGUGAUACAUGAUCCGAGUCAAACUAGGCCGUGUCCGAUCAUCACGUGAGACGGACUAGUCAUCAUCGGUGAACAUCUCCAUGUUGAUCGCAUCUACUAUACGACUCAUGUUCGACCUUUCGAUCUCUUGUGUUCCGAGGCCAUGUCUGUACAUGCUAGGCUCGUCAAGUCAACCUAAGUGUUUCGCAUGUGUUCCGAGGCCAUGUCUUUACAUGCUAGGCUCGUCAACACCCGUUGUAUUCGAACGUUAGAAUCUAUCACACCCGAUCAUCACGUGGUGCUUCGAAACAACGAACCUUCGCAACGGUGCACAGUUAGGGGGAACACGUCUCUUGAAAUUUUAGUGAGGGAUCAUCUUAUUUAUGCUACCGUCGUUCUAAGCAAAUAAGAUGUAAACAUGAUAAACAUCACAUGCAAAUCAUAAGGUGACGUGAUAUGGCCAAUAUCAUCUUGCGCCUUUGAUCUCCAUCUUUGAGGCGCGGCAUGAUCACCUUCGUCACCGGCAUGACACCAUGAUCUCCAUCAUCGUGUCUUUAUGAAGUUGUCUCGCCAACUAUUACUUCUACUACUAUGGCUAACGGUUAGCAAUAAAGUAAAGUAAUUACAUGGCGUUUUCAUUGACACGCAGGUCAUACAAUAAAUUAAGACAACUCCUAUGGCUCCUGCCGGUUGUCAUACUCAUCGACAUGCAAGUCGUGAUUCCUAUUACAAGAACAUGAUCAAUCUCAUACAUCACAUAUAUCAUUCAUCACAUCCUUUUGGCCAUAUCACAUCACAUAGCAUACCCUGCAAAAACAAGUUAGACGUCCUCUAAUUAUUGUUGCAUGUUUUACGUGGCUGCUAUGGGAUUCUAGCAAGAACGUUUCUUACCUACGCAAAAGCCACAACGUGAUAUGCCAAUUUCUAUUUACCCUUCAUAAGGACUCUUUUCAUCGAAUCCGAUCCGACUAAAGUGGGAGAGACAGACACCCGCUAGCCACCUUAUGCAACUAGUGCAUGUCAGUCGGUGGAACCUGUCUCACGUAAGUGUACGUGUAAGGUCGGUCCGGGCCGCUUCAUCCCACGAUGCCGCCGAAUCAAGAUAAGACUAGUAACGGCAAGUAAAUUGACAAAAUCGACGCCCACAACUACUUUGUGUUCUACUCGUGCAUAGAAACUACGCAUAGACCUAGCUCUGAUACCACUGUAGGGGAACGUAGCGGAAAUUCAAAAUUUUCUACGCAUCACCAAGAUCAAUCUAUGGAGUAAUCUAGCAACGAGGGGAAGGGGAGUGCAGCUACAUACCCUUGUAGAUCGCGAUGCGGAAGCGUUGCAAGAACGCGGAUGAAGGAGUCGUACUCGUAGCGAUUCAGAUCGCGGUUGAUUCCGAUCUAAGCGCCGAACCACGGCGCCUCCGCGUUCAACACACGUGCAGCCCGGUGACGUCUCCCACGCCUUGAUCCAGCAAGGAGAGAGGGAGAGGUUGGGGAAGACUCCGUCCAGCAGCAGCACGACGGCGUGGUGGUGAUGGAGGAGCGUGGCAAUCCUGCAGGGCUUCGCCAAGCACCGCGGGAGAGGAGGAGGGAGAGGGGUAGGGCUGCGCCAAGAGAGAGAUGUUCUCAUGUCUCUGGCAGCCCCAAAACCCCCACUAUAUAUAGGGGAGGGGAAGGGGCUGCGCCCCCAUCUAGGGUUCCCCCCAAGGGGUGCGGCCAGCCCUAGAUGGGAGUUGGAGGGGCGGCCAAGGGGGGAGAGAGGGGGGCGCACCACUAGGUGGGCCUUAGGCCCAUCUGAGCCUAGGGUUUCCCCCCUUUCCCCCUUCCCUGCGCCUUGGGCCCCUUGUGGGAGGCGCACCAGCCCACCUAGGGGCUGGUCCCUUCCCACACUUGGCCCACGCAGCCCUCUGGGGCCGGUGGCCCCACCUGGUGGACCCCCGGGACCCUCCCGGUGGUCCCGGUACGUUACCGAUAGCACCCGAAACUUUUCCGGUGACCAAAACAGGACUUCCCAUAUAUAAAUCUUUACCUCCGGACCAUUCCGGAACUCCUCGUGAUGUCCGGGAUCUCAUCCGGGACUCCGAACAACAUUCGGUAACCAUGUAUAUCUAUUCCCUAUAACCCUAGCAUCAUCGAACCUUAAGUGUGUAGACCCUACGGGUUCGGGAACCAUGCAGACAUGACCGAGACGUUCUCCGGCCAAUAACCAACAGCGGGAUUUGGAUACCCAUGUUGGCUCCCACAUGUUCCACGAUGAUCUCAUCGGAUGAACCACGAUGUCGGGGAUUCAAUCAAUCCCGUAUACAAUUCCCUUUGUCUACCGGUAUGGUACUUGCCCGAGAUUCGAUCGUCGGUAUCCCGAUACCUUGUUCAAUCUCGUUACCGGCAAGUCUCUUUACUCGUUCCGUAACACAUUAUCCCGUGAUCAACUCCUUGGGCACAUUGUUCACAUUAUGAUGAUGUCCUACCAAGUGGGCCCAGAGAUACCUCUCCGUUUACACGGAGUGACGAAUCCCAGUCUCGAUUCAUGCCAAGCCAACAGACACUUUCGGAGAUACCUGUAGUGCACCUUUAUAGCCACCCAGUUACGUUGUGACGUUUGGUACACCCAAAGCAUUCCUGCGGUAUCCGGGAGUUGCACAAUCUCAUGGUCUAAGGAAAUGAUACUUGACAUUAGAAAAGCUCUUAGCAAACGAACUACACGAUCUUGUGCUAGGCUUAGGAUUGGGUCUCGUCCAUCACAUCAUUCUCCUAAUGAUGUGAUCCCGUUAUCAACGACAUCCAAUGUCCAUGGUCAGGAAACCGUAACCAUCUAUUGAUCAACGAGCUAGUCAACUAGAGGCUUACUAGGGACAUGGUGUUGUCUAUGUAUCCACACAUGUAUCUGAGUUUCCUAUCAAUACAAUUCUAGCAUGGAUAAUAAACGAUUAUCAUGAACAAGGAAAUAUAAUAAUAACCAAUUUAUUAUUGCCUCUAGGGCAUAUUUCCAACAAAAGGUUCUUCAUAAGCAAUACCUCCAUGAAGGAAACAACGCACAAGCACCUCUAGAAGGUUGUGCCUUCUCUUGGGUGUAAAUUUCUUCUUAUCUUCUUUAACCUUGUUACUUGUACGGUAUAUUGCCUUGUUUCCCUCAUAAAAGGAUCAACCUGUUCAGGUUAUCGAUCUGAUUUUCUUUAUAAACUGGACCAGCCAAAUACCAAGAGGGUAACUACUCUUGGCUUUUGACAUCUUUGAGCAAUAUAUUCAGGUGGGGGAACUCUCCCGCCGUGACUCCUCAAAAAAAUCUAACUAAGCCACUUAAAGUGGACCCAAUCCAAUUAUACAAAAGUAGGUUUAUGAAAAAAAUAACCUCUUGCGAACUGAGCGUAGCUCGGAUGGUUAGGUUUCUUGUGGUGAAAUCAUCCCACUAGGGUUUAAGUUCUAGACUUGGCACUGGUGCUCACAUUUUUCUAGAUUUAUUUUAGACUUUCCGGUGAUGUUCGUUCAGCGGGAGGAGACGUCCCCAUCGACUACGAAGGCACAUGUGGUAACUUCGUCAAUCUCCAGAUGUUGUGUUGACUCGGUAUCUUAGAGGUGCUCAUGAGAUAGGGUGUGUGUGUUGGCGCGCGCUCAUUGGAGCAGUUGCGUAGCUAGCGCAACACCACGCCUCGGGCUAAGCUUAGUGCUACAGUGCAUAGUGGCACUGUAUCUCCCGUCAAUGAACAAUCUUACUGAAGGCCCCUGUUGCCCGGGGCCUGGCUGCACCACAACAUAGGAGUGAAUGUAUGUGCAUGUGUGUGAUCAUCUAUGAUUAUAUUAUGUUCAAGAAAAAAAUACUCCUUUUGAAGAUAAUUAUUUUCGACCAUGUGACAACGAUGUGACUAACUUGUGACAUUUGAUACUUGGCUAGAGACAUGUAAAUGAAUCGUGAAAAGGAGAUAUUGACUGAGCAUUGUGCUCCUAAAGAUAAAGGAUAAAGCGAACACUUUUGAAGAAUAUUACAACCUUCCCUGUCACUUACAUCUAGCCACCAAUACGAAUAGAAGCUAAAAGAACGAAAAUGUGAAGGAAUGCAAUACCUAAAUUUGAAGAAAGCAUAAACCUAUAUCAACUCAUAGAGUUAGAAGUAGUAAUAGUAGUAGUCAUCGGCAUCAUCUUGGAACAAACCAAAAUAUCUUUGAGAAAUACAAUACAAACUCAUACACGAAGAUGUAUUGUCUUGAUUCUUUUAGAUUGACAAGGUGUACUCUUUUGCGUACAUUCAUUUUCUUAUUAAGAUGACCAAAUAUCUUACCAUUAGCUCUCCAUAUAGUUUAUAGAUGGUAUUAAAAAAGCAACUUUGGUCCCAAGGAUAUUAUUUUAGUAACAAGAUUGUAUUUCUCAACCAUCACAUUUCUAGAUGAUAAACCUUACUCUUCCCGCAAAGAAAUAAUGCCCCAAUGAUAGCACAUGUCAAAAAAACAAUAUUUAUCCCGUGAUUCUCUUUUCUGAAACAAUGACAUAGGAAGAAAAAAGGAAAAUGGUGCAUUCAUGCACCAAUGCCGCCAAAGAUGAUUUCUCCGAUCCACUAGCUAGCUUUCCUCGGUCCUCCCCUUGAGAGGCCACCCAACAAAACUACGCAACACCCAACUCCCUCUCCCUUUCCGCCGGCCGAACCAUCUAGGAAUUCUCCUCCCUCCCCAUUGCAGCCGCCACCGCUCUCCCCUCCGCGCUCCGCCUCCUCGCCCGCACCGCUCUACUAGUCUGUGUGGAGCGAUGAUCCACCUACCCUCCCGGCCUUGGAUCGAUUCAUUCCGUCUGUUGGAGGUGACGAACCCUAACUGUAACCAUUUGAAAAUUGAGUGACCGACUUGUGACAUUCUUAUGAUAGACAAAAACUCUAGUAUUGUGCAAUAUUUGAGUGAUAGAAGAAGAAGAAGAAGAAGAAGAAGAAGAAGAAGAAGAAGUCAUAUCGGUCAAGAGAACAAUACAUACAUAAAUAAUAAACCAUAGAAUGGAGUGUGAUUGAUUCUGAUGUCACGAAGACGAUGACAUCACGUAUGUGCUUGACUGGAGGACGACUUGUACUCUUUUGUGUGCACUUUUUAAUACAACAAUACAUCCGCAUCAUAGUUUUCUAAGAGUGCUCCGUUUUUAACAGUUAUAUUACUGAAACUAAACUUUCACCUCCCCGGCCAUGAUUUUAUUUUCUUGACCACCAAGCCAGUUGCUAAAAACACCUAGCAAUCAUCUCAAAGAUAUUUUUUUUCUUCCGAAAGAAAGAACAUAACAAGAAAAGAAAAAGGGAAGGAAAGAAAAGGGUGCAUUGCAUUGCAUAGGACUAGUAUACUAGCCAGGAGGAGGAAAGCUGCACCAAAUCCGCCAAGGAUGGUUUUUUCUUCUUCGGUCCACUAGCUUUGCCUUUGUCUUUGCCUUUGCCUAGCCUAGGAGAGGAGAGGAGAGGAGAUCGACCAACAAAACCAACACAGCACCCAGCUCCCCCUCCCCUUUCCUCCCCCCCUCCCCUCUCCGCCCGCCCGCCGAACCCUCCAGGAAUUCUCCCCUCGCCCGCUAGCCGCCGCCCCUCCCCCCACUCGUCCGCGCCGCUCCGCCGGACUGGCGUGGAGCGGGGAUCCGUCCGUCCGCCGGGGCUCCGAUUGAUUCCCCCCGCCCGUCCGUCCGUCGGAGGUGACGAACCCUAACUCGACCUGCUUGGAUUAUUAUUCUUCCCGGAGUUUGUUGAUGUUUCUCUUGCUUCCUCCCCAAUCCGUUCGUCGUUGCCGAUUUGUUCGCUGCUUCGAUGGAGUGGCCAGUGGGUUUGCUGAUUUCUUGCCAGAUAAUCAGGGGUUCAGUUGCUUGAACCCUCGGCAGGUCCGCCCCUAAAAGGUGGGAUUUUGUUGUUGUUGGGGUUCCUCUUGCUGCUGCUAUCCGGGUAGAGAAAUUGACGAAAUCAGCUGGGAAUUCAGCCGAUUCCCUGUCGCUUGUGUUUGGUUUCUUGGCCCUGGCUCUGCUUCUCUGCUUCUGAUCGUUUUCUCUGUAGUUCAUCCAGUGCUUCUUCCCGAAGCUUCGUGUGUGUUCCUCUUUAAUCUCGGUGUGAAAUUCGGAGUUCUAAUCACCGUUCCGGUGCUUGCUGGUUUCAGGUUUCGUGUGGGAACGAAGGCGGAAAGGAAGGAAGGAAACAGAGCCGACCGGCUAAGUGACCAGGGCUGCGGCGGCGAUGGCUCCGUCUCCGGCGGGCCCCACCUUCGAGGACCUCGAGCGCGACCUGCAGGCGGUGCUCAUGGACCAGAACCACCACGGCGGCGGCGGCGGCGGCGGCGCCUCCGCCGAGGAGCUCAGCAUGUACCGCAGCGGCAGCGCUCCCCCCACCGUCCAGGGCGCCCGCGCCGCCGUCGGCACGCUCUUCUCGGCCGCGCCCCCGGCCCAUGUGGACAACAGCGGCCUCGGCGGCGCCGACAUGCUAUCCGAGGAGGAGAUUCUGUCUCACCCGGCGUACCUGCAGUACUACUACAACAACGAGCACCUUAACCCGAGGCUGCCGGUGCCAAUGGUGUCCAAGGAGGACUGGCGCGUGGCGCAGAGGUUCCAGGCUGCCUCCGGGGGCAUCGGGGACUGGAGGAGGAGGCCCUCGGAGGCCACUGGCGGGAGCUCUCUGUUCUCGGUGCAGCCAGGAGCACGCGAAGGCAACGGAGUGGACUAUCUCCUGAAUGAUAGGAUGGGCAGAGGUGAAAGGAAUGGGCUCGCACGCCAGCAGUCGUCGGAGUGGCUUGGGCAAGCCGCUGAUGGGCUUAUUGGGUUGUCUGAUGUCAAUGGCCUCGCCUCCCGCCGCAAGAGCUUUGCGGAUGCCCUGCAGGUUGAAAAUAUUUUCUUAUUGCAUUUGCUGUGAUCAAUAGAUUCUUUAACCUUCAGUAGAACUACAUGAUGGAAAUAAAUUGUCUUUGCACUUAUACUGAUAGGCUACUUCUACAAUGCAUCACUUUUUUGACUAUUUUGUAGCAUGUAAGUCUCGGUUUGUUUUGUUAUCUAAUUUACAGUGGUUUCCAUGACAGGAAAAUAUUAGCCGUCCUGCUUCUAAAGCUGGUCAUCUUUCACGCUCUAAUAGCCGGAAUGCUUUUGAGAGCCCAAAUCUUUCGCGCUCUAAUAGCCGGAAUGCUUUUGAGGGCCCGAAUCUUUCACGCUCUAAUAGCCGAAAUGCUUUUGAGAGCCCAAAUCAAGUAAGGUCCUCUGAGUCAUCAAAGGCACAACUUCAGAGUAGGUCAGAAUCUAUGAAUGGCUUUCGGUCUGGAACGGCUUCACCCAGUCUUGUCAGGGUACAAAGUUUAGGUUCUUCAAUGUCGCACACAUUUGCUUCUGCAGUAGGCUCUUCGAUCUCAAGAAGCACCACCCCUGACCCUCAGUUGAUGCAGAGGGCUCCAAGCCCUUGCCUUCCUCCAGUUGGAGUUAGGAUGGGAAAAGCUGAUAAAAUGGUUGAAGGCAGAAAUGUCACUUCUCGUAAUCAUGAUGGUUCUGACACUGCAGCAGCUCUAUCUGCUAUGUCCAGUUUAAACCUCUCGGGGAACAACAUGGCCAAUUUAGAAAGUGAUGUGCAAAAUCAUAUUUACCAGAACUUUGGUGGCGAUCAAAGAGAUGCGCUCUUUAAUGUUCCAAAGGAGCAUAGACAGUUUUCUACACAGAACUUAGUUCAUAAUGCUGAUGAAGAGCCGAUAAAUGCCCUGGAAUAUGCAGUCUUUCCAAAUGGUAGCAGUCACUUGAGUAAUCCAAAUAUGAGUAAACUGGCAGCUGAAAGCAACAGCAAGUUCCCUGCACAAUCACAGCAUGGUAAUGGGCACAAGAAAGGAUCUUUGCUGAGCCCGACUGGACCUGUGUAUCUCUACCAAAACCUGAAUGGUGAUGGCUCAAACAUUGAUGUACCUGGACGACAUGCAAAGGCUAAUUCACGAAGUUCUGGCUCGUCCAUGCUGAAUAAUCACCUGAAUACUGGUACUCUCUCUCUCCCUCUCUCUCUCUCUCUCUCUCUCUCUCUCUCUCUCUCUCUCUCUCUCUCUGUGUGUGUGUGUGUGUGUGUGUGUGUGUGUGCUCCCAUUGUUUCCUGACUUGUGUUUUCCUGUCCAGAUGGUGAAUAUGCCAACCUUCUUUCAAAUCAAAGGGGGACUGGUUAUCAGGUCCAACCAAUGGAUGCAGUUUAUGCCCCUUACUUGCAGGCAAACCCCAACUCUCCCCUUGGUGCAGCUGGAAGCAUGAGUCCUUUCCGGGGAAGUAACUUUUCUGGUUCAGGCCACAUGGAUAAUGCUGCAUAUCAAAAGGCUUAUCUUGCAUCAUUACUUGCUCAGCAGAAGCUACAGUACGGAAUGCCAUACAUGGGCAAAUCUGGUGGUCUUAGCCCAACUCUUUAUGGCAGUGAACAAGCAUAUGGCAUGGACAUGGCAUAUUUAUCAAGUCCAACAUCUAGCCAUUUUAUCCCAUCUCCCCAGGGUCAUGCCAGGCAAGGAGAUAGGCUAACACGUAUUCCAUCCAUGGCAAGGAGCACCACUGGAGGAGCUAUGGGAUCAUGGAGUUCAGAGAAUGGUCUGGUAGAUAAUGCUUAUGAGUCUACUCUGCUGGAGGAAUUCAAGACCAAUAAGACCCGAUCUUUUGAGCUGCUAGAUAUUGUAGGUCAUGUGGUCGAGUUCAGGUAUUACUUCCUGGAUUUAAACUGAGUAUAGUUGCUGUGUUUAUCUUUAUGUGGGAUACUAAUAUGAUUCCCCUCUGCAGCUCGGAUCAGUAUGGGAGUCGCUUUAUACAGCAGAAACUUGAAACAGCUUCUACUGAAGAGAAGAACAUGAUUUUUCCAGAAAUACUUCCCCAAGCACGAACGUUGAUGACUGAUGUUUUUGGAAACUAUGUUAUACAGAAGGUGAGCAACUAUCUUAUGCAUUUGUAUCGAACAAAUUUGAUUUACUUAUUAACGGUUUUUUAGUUUAUCUUAUUAUUUUAAGACCUCAGCUUAAUUUGUUGUUCUUGGCAGUUCUUCGAGUAUGGGACUGAACCACAACAGAAGCAAUUGGCAAACCUACUCAAGGGUCAUGUAUAUACGCUGAGUACACAAAUGUAUGGCUGCCGGGUUAUUCAGAAGGUAUGUAUUGCUACAAACUAAACUUUUCCCUACCAAAUCAGUUAUGGACUAGCUGUUUACAGUCUUAGGGACAUCAUAUUUUUCUGUAGGCUUUAGAAGUGGUUGGUGUGGAGCAACAAACACAAAUGGCUUUGGAGCUUGACGGAAACACAAUUAUUCUGAAAUUAGUUCGUGAUCAGAACGGCAACCAUGUAAUCCAGAAGUGCAUAGAAUGCAUCCCUCAAGAAAGGAUACAGUUCAUCGUUUCUGCUUUUUAUGGACAAGUGGUUGAACUUUCCACCCAUCCAUAUGGUUGCCGUGUUAUUCAGGUGCUAUAUCAACCUAUAUCUGGUUUUAAUGGAUGCGUUUCAUUCACAAUUUACUAAAUUUACCUACCUGUAUUGACUACCACCAGAGAGUCUUGGAGCACUGUGAUGAUGAAAGCACGCAAAAUGCCAUGAUGGAGGAGAUCAUGCAGUGUGUGGUUCCUUUGACACAAGACCAGUAUGGCAAUUAUGUUAUCCAGGUAGCUGCUUAUUCAUUUACUUGUUAAAUAUUUGUCGUUGAACAAUUUCACUUGGGCCUAGUAUAUUAAAUUAGUGGGAGGGAUGGGUCAUGUUGGAUUUCUUCUACCAAGUUGGCAGUUACAUAUCAUGUAAAUGCUCUUUCUCUUGUUUUUAUAUCUCGUUAGAAGUAGUUUCUAAUUACCGAAUGUGCUUGUACUGUUUUGUUCAUACUUUCUGCCCAGUACCACCAAGUGUUUUGAUUUGUUUGGUGUGAUCUAUCAUAUGCCGAUGUAUGAUAUUAUAUAUAGAGAGUUUUUUUCUUCUGUUUACCACUUUCUCGUACUUUUUUCCUUCUGUUUACCACUUUCUCGUAUUACUGUAUAGACUAGCGAUUACCUAGUUGAAAGUUUCAUGUAUCCCACUUUACACAAAGGGCUUUUGGUUUCUUUGUUUUGUAGCAUGUCUUGCAACACGGGAAACCAGAAGAACGUACUUCUAUAAUUAAGCAGCUUGCUGGGCAGAUCGUGAAGAUGAGCCAACAAAAAUUUGCUUCCAACGUUGUUGAGAAGUGUCUGUCUUUUGGUUCUCCUGAGGAGCGCCAGAUUCUAAUUAAUGAAAUGCUUGGCACUACUGACGAGAAUGAGCCAUUACAGGUGUGUUUUCAACCAGCUGUUUAAGCAUACUGGUUCUUUGUUGCAGAACAUGCUCUGUGUAGAAAUAAAAUUGAUAUUUAUUGACUACCUGAAUAUAGCUCUUAUGUGCUAUGGCUGCUGAAUUUUGGUAUAAUUAUUGGCACAAGCUAUUUCUUGUUUUGUUUAUGUCUUUGAGGAACUGAAGUUGUUCAGCAUGCCAUAUGUGUGAAACUGUUUUCUGUUUCCUCAUCUGCUGCUUCAAGGCGCAGAUGUGGAUACCACGUCUUUAUUAUUCUAAAGCUUGUAUUUUCGGGCAAUUUCAGUCUUCUGACGUCUAGCUUCUGCUUUCCAGGCAAUGAUGAAAGACCAGUUUGCAAACUAUGUAGUGCAGAAGGUUUUGGAGACUUGCGACGACCACAACCGUGAGCUGAUUCUUUCGCGUAUCAAGGUCCACCUGAACGCACUGAAGAGAUACACCUACGGGAAACAUAUUGUUGCCCGGGUGGAGAAGCUUAUAGCCGCAGGAGGUACCAGUUUCCAAAGCCCCUUUUAGUCAUCCUUACUGCAAUUCAUCCUUCUUCGUUUUUAAGAUGCAUGGUCAUGGAGGCGUUUGCUUGUUGCUUCCUAAUCUGCAUAUCUUUGCAAAUCCUUCUUCCAUUUGGAUUUAAUUUGUAUUUCUCAUUUGCAGAAAGGCGUAUCGGGGUCUCGUCGCAGUCUUGCAGAGAUUGAAUGGUUAGUUUGACAGAAUAACCCCUGUACAGACAGAUAGCGAGGCUAGCCUUACCAGUAGUCGUUGUCCAGUGCCGUCGUCGGAGAAGUUGGAGCUCAAGAAAGCCUUUGAUUGUAAAUAAAGGAGGGGGCCUCUGGGAAUAAAGAAAGAGAAAGAGAAGAGAUUUUGCUUGUUCAAAAGGAGAGAAGUUGUAUAUUUGUACCGUUUUUCCCUCUUCGAGUAAGAUACAUAUCUAUAUAUGAAUAUAUAAGAAAGGCAAAGCAUGGAAGCAAAUUAGCUGAAAUAUUUAGGGUUAGAUGAUGAUGGGAAGCAAGGAUACCUGUAGAUCCUUUUGCCUUGGGUUUCAUCGGUGUAUAAGGUUUCCAUCUCUUGUAAAGAUUUCCUAUUUUACUGAUGUUUCGCAGAAAUCAAAUGUUUCAGUCUUUGUAAAGAAGGUUUCACAGAAAUCAAAUGAAUGCCUGUCUAUGAAAUGAAUGCAUGCAGCUCUGGAAGUACCAAUCUUUUUAUUAUGUUUCGUCUAUGAAAUGUCAGCAUGCCGCUCUGGAAGUACCAAUCUUUUUAUUAUGUUUUUUUUUCAAAACUGAGGCAAAAGGUUUGCCUCAUAUAUUAAUUAAGCAGAGAGGGGAGUUUGUUACAACAGUCACCCUUACACGGCAUGAAAGAUUACUCACAGAAAAUAACAGACCCUAGUUUCUUUGCUCCGGCGGUGACCCAAAGAUUUGCCUCGUUAGUGAUCAUAGUGAGCAAAAAUGGCGGUGGGGCGCUCUUAUGACGGAAGACCCGGGCAUUUCUUUUAUUCCAUAUGGUCCAUGACACCAGCAUGGUCAGCGAGGCCAUCGCUUUUCUGUUGGGGACUCCUGCGCCGGUUCGAUUUGUCCACCAAUUCUUGAUGGAAACAUCCAGAUGCCACAAGGAGGUGUCCAUUUGUUCUAGACGGAAUUUCUCAGUGACCAUCUUCCAAAGCCGUAUGGAAUAACGGCACUUGAAGAAAACAUGUGGCCCACUCUCUUGCUCCUUUUUGCAAGAGGACAAAGACCACAAUUUGGCCAUCCCCGCUUGGCAAGCCUGUCGGCUGUCCAGACUUCAGAGUCUAUCUUGGAUAGCCAACCAAGCAAAGAACUCAUGUGUGGUAGAUGCAUCUUUUUCCAUCUUUUUUGGUGUUGAUGUCUUACCUGCUAAUUUUACUCUUUCAAGCUGUCUCUCGACUUUUGACAUAUUUUCCUCUUAUUUCCUCAUAACGAUACAUCAAAUAUUUAUCGAGAGUUCAUGUUUUGACUUCUAUUCUUAGUUUCAUCACAGGAACAUUUGCAUGCUCAUAAUAGCAGUUGAAAGAGAGGAACUGGCUGAAUUUGUUGCACUGGCGCUAGGCUUGGCAACUGUUGUUAACAACUACACCCAGUUGCCUCGGUUAGAAAUAUAAUUUGUGUCACAACUCAUAACUGAUCUAAAAUGUAAUUAGAUGAAUUGUUGUUCAAAGCAUGAUCUUGCAACAGUUAAAAUACGCCUUAUAUUUCGAAACUGGUGGGUGGAGUAUGUGUCCACCGCCUGCACCGACUUCCGACAGAAUAUAUUCUUGCGCAAAUUCAGAAUGCAAUUUCAACUUUUCAUUAUUCGAGUUUCGACAAAAGGGCAAAGCCCCAGGAUUCCUAUAUAUAGCCAAGCAUGAGAUCCUCUAACAGUCACAACCACCAACCAUAAGCUCAUAUGGGUACAGUAACCGGUGCAGACUCCUAAGCACCACCGGAGAAUGUGCCCAGGAGCACCGCGGCUGACAGUGAACCGUGGCAGUGGUGUCUGCCGGACGGCACCACCGGCUUUUCUUCCCCCAGGGGUUGGUCGGGGGCGGCUGUGUCACGCGCACGGCAUCUUUGUGGCGGCGACGUCCUUGGACAUCGUGAAGAGGUCCAGGUUGUGGUGGUACCUGCCCUCCACCACGGCGUCAUCUGCUCCAAGGAUGCUCUCAUCCAUGGGCGGUGACCUCCUGGCGCCGUACCCCGCAGCCUGCUCGUCGUCGUCGGAGCAGUUGCCGUUCUCCAUCACGUCCUGCAUCGCUAGGUCAUCGUACUCCUCGUCGGACUUGGUGGAGUGCUCGUCGACGGAGCCUGCCUCAAUCUGAAGGAAACGGUUGGCACAGAAAACACUUAGCAAUCUGGUUCACUGAUGCACAGGCUUUGAAAUGAGGCACGCUAUCAACUGGCGUUCCUGGUUAGUAUAUGGCACAAUAUAUUUGGAGUUUUAGGAAGCACCAGCUGCAAUCAAGUGUCUGCUACCACAACAGAAGUACGAGCAAAUCGCACUAGAAAAAUUGCUGGAUAACAUAGUAGCUACCUCAUGAACAUCUCUUUCUUCAUCAGUUAGAUCCUCAUCAGUUUCAGCAUCAGGUGGGUCGUCAGCAUCUUCUUCACUACCAUAGACUGAAUAAUCCUCCAUAUGCUGGAAAGGUCACCAGAGCAUUCGUUAGAUCGGAAUGCAUAGCAUCAGCAAUCGACUAAAAAAACAUUAACACAUUACUGCCAGUAUUAAUAACAAACAUAUCUUAGUGUUGAUGCACAACACAUACCUCUUUGGAGGCGCAGUCUGACGUCUUUGGUGAACUGCAGCAUGAGGAGAAGUAUCUACCGCCUGUCUCGAUGCCAUCAGCCCUCAGGUCAUCUACACUUCCAGCAUGGCUGGUGCCACCACCUGUGUCACUCAGCCACGCGCUAAUCCCGAAAGAACCAAACUGGAGAUUAACUGACUCCGCCUUCCCAAUUUGUGAUGGGUUAACCAUAUGAUUUCCUACUGAUCUACCACUGCCUGUACUGCCAUUAGCAUUGCCAUCACCUGAAUCUACAUGCCAAGCCUUAGUCACCGAACCAUCAGGGUUAAGGAGAGCCAUCAGAUUCCUCGAAGACCCCUUCCUUUGAAUGAACUGGAACAUGCCCUUGGAACCCAAGGAGUUAGCUGCACGUUGGUUCCUGUAUUCCUCAUCCACUACAGGAACAGUGUUUGUGUUGAGGUCAUACAGCUGCUCCCCAACUUCUCGCCGGCGAAGACAGCUGAAAACCGUGGCGUGUAUCGCUGCCACGCUCUGGUCAACGUUAGUGUUGUUAAUUUUCGGCACAAGAUGCUUGUCUGCUCGGUUGCAAAGGUAUUCCUGGAUAGCCCUGAUGUUCCGAAUGUACUUGAUGUAUCUGUUCUUUGCUGGGUCCAGUGUCAUGUACUUUGCGCGCACAGCAAACCGUUCCAUGUGCUUCUCCUCAUUUGCAAUGUAUACCAUAAAUGGUAUUAUGGAAGGAUGUUUCUUCAUUAGCCCCAUCUAUUAGAUAUUCAAAAUAAAAUAUAGCUUAGUCCAUUCAUCAGUGCAACAAAAUAUAUAACAGGUAAACGACGCGAGAGCUGUAAUAGAAUAUUAGUGUUGCUUCUGGACUAGUACGCACCACAAAAUUGAGGCUCAAAUGAACUCCUUCAACAAUAACAGAUUGCUUCUGCUCUUCCCAGGAUGUAAUUAAUCUGUCCAGGCUGUCGAUGACCAUCUCGCUUUGAGCCUUGAACCCUUCUAUUGCCAUUUGUUUGCUGCCAAUCAGCUCGGUCCUAGGAGGUAAUACUGAGGAGCCGUGACGAGAUUUAACAUCUGAAGUGUCAUCUUGGCCUUCACUGGUGUUAGGAUGAGAAACCAUUGCGAGCUUCUUCGCCUGGCGCUUAGCCUUUGACUGAGCAACUGCAACAGGGUCCAAGUAUUCUCCUGCAUGGUAGGUUGAUGCAUAGAGAAGAGGAUUUUGCUUUUCAUCUGCAAAGCUUCUCAUCAUAUGGCGUAUAGAAUCAGUAGAAACCACUGUCGUUAUGCCCAAUCUACUACCCUGGAUAAAACAAACAGACUGUAUUUAGCAUUCAGAAAAGAGUCAGCAUCACGUAUCUCUUUAAUUUACAGUGCAAUCUUCUAAAAGCAACAAGAAACACAACAGAGCAGGAAAAGGUGUCAAAACGCUUUAAAUUGGUAUUUGAUAUGCAGAUACUUAUCAUUAAAUGCUUCUGUGUGUACCAAACUACUGUGUCACUGGUGUUCUAUAUAGUAUAGCUAUCACCUAUCCAGAAAUGGCUGAGACGCUUAGGUUAGAAAAUUAACAUACCAACAGAGACGAUAGGGUGGACUUGCCGCAUCCGCUUGUCCCACACAAGAGUACUGUCACCGAUUCCUUUUUCUCCUUAAUUCUGAUCAGAAUAAUUGGAAAAAGACAGAAUUGCAAAAAUUAGCUGCCGUUGAAUUCAUUGAGUAGCUACCUAUGGGCGCACCGAGAUGACUUGGGUGAUAUAUGCAUAUUUCAUUGGAGCAUAGUGCAUGCACCGUGCUCAUAAGAAUAAUUUAGCUUUUUUCGAAGGAAUCAUCUGACUUUAACAAAGCACGCUAAGCAUAAAUGUCUGUCCUAAGCCUGCUCAGUUGUGGACAUAAUAGAUGACUAGGAGCUGUAAAUGAAAUAGAUGAAGAAAUAUGCUAGUUGGAUUGCUUCUAAUUCAUAUGAACUCAAUAAGAUACAGAUAGGGUAAAGUUACCGGCAAGCAAGAAGCAAGUCGGCCUUCUGGUUUGGUCCAACAUACUUGUAAGAAGAGAGUGCAUCACACACGAUAUUCAGAAACCUCUCUCUUGAAACAAGAAUCGUUGUUUGUGUCUUGUACAAUUCGAAGGGCAAGCUGCUGCUACUUGCGUCUGGAAUUUCUGUGUUAAGCAUCUCAGCAUCUUCUCCAAUGCCCAUGCUAGAGACAUUUUCUUCUUUAACAGCCCUGUCCGACCUUGAUGCAUCCAAGAAUUCACUCCUCAUCACACUGAAUACUCUCUUGCUAAUCUGACGGUGACAACAAGGGAGACAAAAAAGAAACUGUUAAACUCCACACACCAAUAAAAAUAAGUUGUGCACACGAACGGCGUAUUAGUUCGCAGCUUAUCAAAAUAGACGAUGAGGAAAAUAAGAUACGCCAAACAGUCAUGACCAAAUCAGAGUAAGAAAAUUAAGUUAAGUGAGAACCUGAUACCAGAGCUCAGGUCAACUCCAAGAUGCAUAUUUGCUUAGGCAGCUAACCAAAAUGGACGAUGAGAAAAACAAGAUAUGCCAAACAGUCAUGACCAAAUCAUAGUAAGAAAAUUACGUCAAGUGAGAACCUGAUGCCAGAGCUCAGGUCAACUCCAAGAUGCAUAUUUGCUUGUAGGAAGCUAAUCGAAAUGGAAGAUGAGGAAGACAAGAUACGCCAAACAGUCAUGACCAAAUCAGAGUAAGAAAAUUAUGUCAAGUGAGAACCUGAUACCACAGCUCAGGUCAAAUCCAAGAUGCAUAUUGGCUUAGGAAGCUAUAAUCGAAAUGGACGAUGAGGAAAACAAGAUAUGCCAAACAGCCAUCACCAAAUCAGAGUACAGAAAAUUACGUCAAGUGAGAACCUGAUACCGGAGCUCAGGCCAGUUCCAAGAUACAGACUAGAACGGUAGCCCGUCAAGCUACAGUUCCCGAGCAUAAAGAUCAUUGGCAAGGCAAAGCCUAGAUGUCUAUAUCAUCAUAACAUGGUGAUGUCUCUGUCAUCAGAGCACAAUAGAUCGAAGAAAGGAAUAGCGAUUCACACUAGGUGUAGCAAGGGGCAACGGUAUGUGACGAUAAUGACCCCCAAGUAAAGUAUCACCAAAAGACAAAAUUCAGUCUGCAACAAGAGGAAUAGCUUGGACAAAAUACGCGGAAUCAGAUCCAAUCUUUUGUUGCAAAGAAUGACCCUGGCCAAAAGAUGGCGAAAAGGAUAUGAGAGUUUCCUGUCGAAUCCAAUCCAAGGGAAGUGAACCGACCCGGGGGAGCUUGGAUUGGAUUGAGCCAAGAACAUGAUGUGCUCAUCGAUUGGCGGAGCAGUUGUCGCCUUCCCAUGUCAAAAUCGCCCCACCGCCAAACACUAUGCCAGGCAUGCCUAACUACAUCGCUUGAGCAAAGAAGAACCAAUUCAAAACCCUGCUAGGCAUGUGCUGUCCGUGAAUGAACAUGAAGGAUCCAUGGCAUCUACUAGAACAUAAUAGAAGCAGGCAGAGGCAGUUGUCACCUUGCCGUGUCAAAAUCGUCCCACUGCCAAACACUAUGCUGGGCAUGCCUAACUACAUCGUCUGAACCAGGAAGGAGCAAUUCAAGCAGCAGCGCGAGAACUCUAUGCUGCACAUGUUGCUGGCCAUGGAGGAUCCAUGGCAUCUAAAACAGAGCAGAAGCAGGCAGUUCCGUCCUCAGUCUAAUCUAAUCGCGGCAUGACGCGAGCGUGUCCCGUGAGGGCGCGCGAGGGCCUCCAAUCGGAGGCGAGCGGCCCUCCAUUGCUCGGGAGGGAUCAAGAUCGCGGACAGCGAGAGCGGCAGCAGAGAGGGGAAGGAGAUGGGGGGAGGGGAGGGGGGACGACGGACCUUGAAGGCGUGGCGAGCCUUGCAGCCCAUGAGCUGGAGGGUGCUCUGCAGGACGGGGCGCGUGUACCGGAACGCCCGCCGGCCGCCGCCGUCGGCGACGGCAAUGUAGAGCAGCUUGGGCGGCGCCGUCUCCGCCAUGGCCGGGCCCGGAUCAGGGACCCUCACGGAGCCCGCUGGGUCAAAGAUGGGGUUUUCAGGCGCAUUGCGGCGGCGGGGUCAUGGGCGCGGGCAUGAGCGUGGGCGUGGGGCGGUGGGGGAGGGCCGAGAAGGCAAGCAAGCAGGUGUCGUCACGACGUCCACGCCGCGCGCGCCCAUUGCUUCCACAUGGCCGCGCUCCCUCUCCCUCUCUCUCUCCGCUCUGCACGAGAGGAGUCGUCGCCUUCCUCCUCCGCUUUCUCUCUCUAAAGUUGUGGGAUUUGGCCUCCCUCCUCUGCUUUUCUCCUCUCCUCCUUCCGCUUUUAUUGCCUCCUGCCUCUCUCCUUUUUUUUCUCUCUUUUCUUUUACCCUUUUUUUAUAGAGCUAUUAAUGUACAAAUAAUAAAAGUGCUACUUGAAGACGUGGCGUCGACCCGUUGGCUGGGCAGCUGGGGUUGUUGCCAGCCCACCUGAGUUCGAGUCCCGACUCAGACUCGCUCAUAAAUGCUAUCUCCUAAGAAGCGUUCACCAUCUAAGAGGGUCCUUAAUUUAAGAUAUGUUAUUAAACAUUGUUAAUGCAAUUAAUAAAACUGACACACAUUGAACGAGGAACAAAGCAAGUACUUUCUCCUCCUGCUUUAAAUCAAAGCUUUGAUUUGAACAUCAACAUGGUUGUAUCCCAUUUGCAAGGUUGCGGUGUCACAUCCUUGCUAACCGAGGUUCGGUUACCGUCGGGAACGAAUUUGGUAUCUCGCCCAGGUGGGCCCCCUUAAUAUAUUGUCCACGAGGAUUCUCCCCUAUUAGUUCUCGUUUUAAAUGGCUCGAAUAUAACUUUGACAUCAAUCACGAGAUUCUAAUAGUCCAGUAUUAUUCUUAUUGAAUUUUAUUUGUUUUCGAAUCCCUCUUGUGUGGAUCUUUUCGUGCGAAUGGUUGUAUCUGUCCAUCGUCUAUACGUGGCACUGGCUGUAGUAUUAAGGCUGUGUUUGUUUGGGUUUUAGAGACCAGUUUCCGGUAGAAAUAAGCUGAAGCCGUAACAAACAGCUAAAAUGGAGCUGUUUUGGGCUCACAGUCCAAAACUGUUUUAGUCGUUUUUACGUGGUACUGGUUGAAGCGAGCCGAGCCGUGCUUCGACCCGGAAACUGUUUUGCCGCAGUGAAAUUCCCACCGAUGCCCUUGUUAAUUCAGCCCAAUUACGAAAGGAAUGCCCCCGAUGCCCUGUUUCAGUCGAUCCCCGUCUCGUCUCCUUCAUCGCUAACACACGCACGCAGAGGGCAGCGAGAGGGAGAGGAACCUAGGGUUCCACCGCCGCCACCGCAAGAGCCGCCAGCGCCUCCGCUCUCCGCCGCCGCAAGAGCCCCCGCCGUCGCCGUCAUCCACUGCCUCCACUCGCCGUCAUCCGCCGCGGGAGCCGCCGCCGCCUCCACUCGCUGUCAUCCCUACUCGCCGGUCCCCUCCACCGCCUCCACUCGCCUUCAUCCACCGCCGGCCCCCGACGCCCACUCCCUCGUGCACCCAUGUCGUCGGCUGUGGUGAGCAUUUCUUGGCAGAAAAUUUUAUUCUUUGUGGAUGCUCUACUUGCUGUAUAUGCUACAUAAUGCUUGAUGUGGAUGCUCUGCUUGCUGUACAUGCUGCAUAAUGCUUGAUGUGGAUGCUCUUCUUGCUUGAGGCUUGAUACAUGAUGCAUGCUUAUUGUACAUUGAUGGGUAAAUAAAGAUUUCAAGCUUGCUGUUGCUAUGGAUGCUCUGCUUGAUGUACAUGUGGAUGCUCAGUUUGCUUGCCAGACAUGCUUGUUUGCUCGCUGCACAUGCUUGUUUGCUAUACUAGUUCUUCCGUGUGCUGGAGGAUUAAUCAGCAUAGCCUUGUUGCUUGGUUGCUAUACAUGCUGGAUAUUUUGUAUGCUGGUAUAAAUUAUGGUGAAAAUGAACUAGAUGGAGAAGACAGCGAAGAAGGCAGCUAGGAAGGCAGACAAGGGAGACAAGACAGACAAGGCACUUUGGGAUGCAUACCAUACUAGGAUAUUUUGCGAGUUGUGUGCGAGGGAAGUUGAAGCAGGCAAUAGGCCGGGGGCGUUCUUGAGUCCUAGAGGAUAUAAGAAUUUGGGGGAGAGCUGGUUGCAGAUAACUAAGAAAAGUUAUGUGAGGAUGCAAUUCAAGAAUAGAUGGGAAAAUCUCAAAACUAUGUAUUGUCAAUGGAAACAAUUGCAAAUUGACGCAUCUGGACUUGGAUGGAAUGCUAAGCUAGGAACCAUUGAUGCUGAUACUGAUUGGUGGAACACUCACCUAAUGGUAAGUUCAUGUUACUCAUAGUAUUUACAUUGGGUUUUAUAUUAUCUUAAUUAUCCAUUUAUCUGACCUUUUGUUCUUUUGCUAUUUUUCAGAAACACCCAGAGCAUGCAAAGUAUAGGAAUGCAGGACCACCCAACUUGGCUGAAAUGGACCUCAUGUUUGAUGACCGUCAUGUCACCGGUGCCGAGUCCGCUAUCCCCGGUGAGAUACCAUUGGACAAGGAGGAAGUCACUAUUGACGAUGACUCUGAUAGUGCAGAGGAUGAUGAUGAAGUCAUCAAAGCAAAACCAAAGAAGCAGCGCAAGACCAAGUCCUGUAAAGAUGAUUUUUCUGCUCUAGAUGAGAAGAACCCAUUUGUUCGGAUGUACAAGAAGGCUAGUGAUGCGAUAUGUGUAACGGCUGAAAGUAUAAAAGAAGCAUCUAGCUCCAGCAAGGCUCAUCCUCCCCCUUCUCCUCCGGUUGCUCCUGCCCCUCCUCCUCCGGUUGGCCCUAGUAUGAAUGAGGCAAUGGAGAUGGUUCGUGACUGUGGAGUUGAGGAAGGAACUCCUCUCUUUUUCUCUUCCAGCAUGCUUUUUAUGAAGCCUGAGUAUAGAGAAAUGUUUGCGUCGGUUCAGACCAAGGAAGGAAGGUUUGAUUGGCUCGAGAGAGCGCAUGAUUAUGCUAUGUAACUUUUCGUUUAGAAUAAUUGCUUAGUUCUUUGCUUGGAUUAUGCUAUGUUGUUGGUCUGUACUAUUAUUGACAUUCGUGUGUGAACUAUUUUCUUUACUGAAUGUGAACUAUUUGGUUAUUUGAAUGCUAUUUUCCCAUAUGUAUGAAUAAUGGAUAUGACAACUAAUGUUGUUGUCAUGUUGCAUUUGUAGACUGAUGGAAUUGACGACAGAGGUGGUGACGAUGAUGAUGCUAACAUAAAGACAGUACAACUUCAAAACUUGCUCAAGUUAAGUACUGAUCUCGCAACCUUAGGUCAAAUGGCUAUGCACUACAGCAAAUCUCGUUUGAAUAAGCAACAUAGGCAACCUAGGAGGAUUGCAGUACAAACUGGUUAUGAAUGGGUGAUGGAAAAGUUGGCACGUCCUAAAUCUUGCUACAAAAUGUUUAGAAUGUAUCCAGAUGUUUUCUUGAGUUUGCAUGGUGUUUUAGUGAAUGACUACCAUUUGGAGUCAACUAGCGAGAUGAACUCAUUGGAAUGUCUGGGCAUGUUCUUGUGGAUGCUUGGAGGCCCUCAAUCAUUUCGCCAAGCCGAAGAUCGGUUUGUUCGGUCAACUGAAACAAUCCAUAGGAAGUUCAAUCAUGUGUUGCACUGUGUAAAUUCCUUAGGAACAUCAUCAAACCUAUAGAUCCUACGUUCACAGAUGUGCAUCCAAAAAUUAGGGACAAGCGUUUCUGGCCUCACUUCAAAGGUUGUAUUGGAGCAAUUGAUGGAACUCACAUUCCCGUUAUAGUUCCAGCAAAAGAGACCUGUAACUAUAUGGGACGACAUAGUUACACAAGUCAAAAUGUGUUGGCAGUUUGUGACUUUGACAUGAGAUUUACCUUUGUCGUUGCCGGUUGGGCGGGGUCGGUACAUGACACACGGAUUUUCCAUCACAGUAUCGAGAAGUAUGCUACUACUUAUCCCGCGCCUCCUAAAGGUACACAAAUCAAGUGUUAGAAUUUUGUAUAGAAUGUUUCUAUUAUUUUGUACAUGUUCUCUAAUUUAUUCUCUAUGGAUGUAGAUAUGUACUACCUUGUUGAUUCCGGUUAUCCAAACCGGGUGGGAUAUCUAGCUCCUUACAAAGGGACAACCUAUCACCUUGCGGAAUUUCGUGCUGGACGCCGCCCACCGAGUGGUAAAUUUGAGGUGUUCAAUCAUGAUCAUUCUUCUCUUCGGAAUGUGAUUGAACGCUCAUUUGGUGUGCUCAAGCAGAAAUGGCGCAUCCUAAGGGAUGUGCCACACUUCAAGGUGGGAAGUCAGACGAUGAUUAUCAGUGCUUGCAUGACGCUUCACAAUUUCAUUAGGGACAGCAAGCUACACGAUAAAGAGUUUGAUAAAUGUGAUGAGAAUGAAAAUUACAUGCCUGCAGUCUCACGGUCAACACCUUUGCUUGGCGACGCCGUUCCCACUUCCUCUGAUGAAGGCAACAUGAACGACACGCGUGAUAGGAUUGCGAACUCUUUGUUUAUUGCGCGACAAGCUACAUAGAUUAGUAUUUGUACGACAUCUAAUUAUAUGUACGGAUUAUGAAUUAUAUGGACAGUCUAAUCCUUUAGCUCUCUUUUGUAUGGAUUAUUAGUCAUAUGGACUAUCUUUUGUAUUGUACGGGCAAUUGUGACUUGCAUGAAGUAGCGAUGUGACAACAUAAUUCUUUUGCUCACUAUUAUUCUAUGUAUAUAUGAGCAAGAAAGUGAGAAAAAUAUUUUUAUGAAAGAUUUUAUGCAUUACCAUAAAACAAAUCAUUCCCUGUCAGUCAAGAUACCAUUUAAACAAUCUAUUAACACUAAAUCAACAAGUUACACUGAUCUCAGUACUCUAAGAGCAUUUUAGGCUUUUCAUCACCUCAGAGUCGUUUCCACAGCUGCGUUGCCAAACAGCUAACCUUUACUACAGCUGUUUCCGCGGCACAACAGUUUUGCCAGCACAGCAAGUCCACAGCUGAAUCUGUUGAAACUGAAGCCCAAACAAACACAGCCUAAAUCGCCUUGGUUAUGCCGGUGUUCCCGCGUGAGAAUUAAUUAAUUAAUUAGGAGAAGAGAUCAGACAGGAACAAGUGAGAUUUUUAUAUGAGGACAAGAAAAGUGCAGCUUUGGAUUAGGCAUCCAUCUGCACUAGGUGUUGGGCACGUAGGUGAGUACUCUUGUUUAAUCCAGCGAUAUAUUUGGCGGCCUAUGCAUAAAUCAAUCUCUUUCUUAGAAAGAACCAUGGGGACAAAAAUUGAACUGCUAUUUACAGACUGACUUGAUUUUCAUUUCACUCAAAUAGCAAAACUAAACUUGUAUUUGCAAUCAAGUCGGUGCUUAGUAGUUGAAUUACUAAAACUCCGAGUACGGACUUCAUUCCGAUUGUCUGGACUGGAAAUUCGAAAAUAACUAUGUAGUACAGUAUAAUAUUUAAUUUAUCCCGAAACGUAUUCAUUGAAUUGUAGCACGGUAUUCUUGCUUUCAUACGUACAUCACAAAAAAUAAUUGCUGCUCAAAGUUACAUGUGUUAAGGACCAUGUCAGUGUCCAAAAUAUCACAAACUGGAGGGAGUAGCUUGUACAAAUUGUAACCGCGAAUAGGAUAAAAGAAAGGGUGGUGUUUCCCUCGCAAAAAAAGUGGUGAUGUUUUACAGAUUGUCAAAAGAAAGGGCGAUGUUUUACAGUGGUGUGAAUAAAAAUGAUCUAGACGGGGCAUAUGUUACAAACUUUUUUUCUUAGAAAAAAAAAGAAAAAUCGCUCGGAUCAAAUUUGGUAAAGUUUGGCCGAUCGUCCGUGUGCGCGAUUCCAUUAUGCUGUUUGCGGCCGGCCGUGGAACGUAGUACGUGCGUGCGUGCACGCGUGACGAGAACCAGCGGCGGCGAGGGCCGGCGUCCGUCCGUUGUUGUAGGAUAGAUCCCUCUCCCUUUAAUUUCUUUCCGGCCGGCACCUUUGCUUUUGCACCCUCUUUCGUUCCCUUUUUGCUUUUCGUACCACGUGUGUAGAACAAACAAACAAACAAAUGAGAUGGCCGUCCGUCCACGGCGGGCGAGACCAGAUGGGUUCGGACGGCGGCGAUCGGAAUCGGAUCGACGACGUACGCCGACCGGCCGCCUCCAGAAGACAGACGUAUCUAUCUACAUCGCUCAUAGGUAUAGAAAGACAUAGACGGACCCUCCUUGAACCAAGAUAAAACACAGGGCAAAGUCUAGACGUGCGAGGUCCUCAAGAAGAAAAAGAAAAAGUCUCACUGACCGACCCUUUCACGAAAAAAUCCAUGCAAUUCGGGUCGCGGUCGGUUCCUGCUGCACUCGACACGCGUGCGUGCAUGCGUGCGUGCGUAUGUAAAUACGUUCUUCUUUUUACAUCCGUAUGUAAAUACGUUGGGUGGACGACUGCCGGCACGGUCGAUCGGGUGGCCGGUGCUCUCCUCUCCUCUACCACCACUACUCCAUCCGUUCAUUAACUUAUGGUGUAUAAACUGAAUUUCGUGAACAACGUUUGACCACCGACUGCGCUUUUAAUAUGCGAUUUAUAUGGUACUCUCUCAGUUUACAGGGCGUGCGUGUACAAGUCAUAUAUUACAAAAAAUAUACCAAUAUAAACUUCAGAUGUUCUAUUUUCAAAAGGUAUAAUUUUUGUGUUAUAUAGUUUAUAUUAGAGUGAUAAAAUUGGCAACCUAGGUAUGCGCGUAGGACUUGUAAACUGAAACGGAGGGAGUAUGAUACAAAAGCAUGUCUAUACGUACAUAAAUUGCACAUUGAUGGAGUAGUGGUUGAUCAAAUCCUUAUAUAUCUGGGAAGCUCAAUAGGACGAGAAGCAAGGGGCGAGUACUUUCGCAUGUUUUUAAAUUAAAAAAGGUUGUUGUGGUGAGUACAACUUCGACACUAAUCAAUAGAUUCUAACAGUCCAUUUUUAUUUUUAUUGGAUUUAUUUUAUCAUGCUAUCUCUUUAAAUCAAUGGCAUGCAUUUCAUAAUCUAUUUGAUUGGGUUUUGAGGCGCAUUGCGGCGGCGGGGUCAUAGCCGCGGGCACAGGCAUGGGCGUGGGGGCGGUGGGGGAGGGCCAAGAAGGCAAGCAAGUGUCGUCAGGAAGACCACGCCGUGCACGCCCAUGGCUUCCACAUGGUCGCGCUCCCUCCCUCUCUCUUUGGCUCCGCUCUGCACGAGUCGUCACCUUCCUCCUUGGCUUUCUCUCUCUAAAGUUGUGGGAUUUGGGCUCCCUCCCCUGCUUUUCUCCUCUUCUCCUUCUACUUUUAUUGCCUCUUGCCUCUCUCGGUUUUCUCUCUCUCUUUUCUUUCAUUACCACCGUUUCAAUUUUUUAGAGCUAGGAGUAUUAAUGUACAAUAAUAAAAGUGCUACUUAAACAACCAUUUUAAAAAACACUAUUCCCUGAAAAAACACUAUUACACUAUUAAUAUAAAUUUAUAUGUUAUGAAAUCCUAUCUAUAAGUAAGUUAUUUGUAUGAUUUUUUCAAAGACUUGCUAGUAAUUUUAUUAUUCUUGUAUGAAAGUUCUUUUAAAAGUUGGUUUUACUUAAUAAAUGUAAGAUCUCACGAAUCUCGAUGUAAUUUUGCACGGAUCUAAGUGUAAGAUCUCACGAAUAUAGCAUUGACUGAGGCAUAACCAAGUCUCGGCCGACUGAGGUUUAGCAAGACUAUGUGUAAAUUGCAUACUGGUGAAGUAAUUGUUGAACCAAUUAGUAACUUAUUAGCAAAACUUAAAUGCCUCGAUGAGUACUUUCUCCUGCUUUUAAUCAAAACUUUGUUUUAAACAUCAAUAUGCCCACAUAGCCCACUGGCAAGGUCAUAGUGCGCAUCCUUGUCCUUACUGAGUGGGACUCGAUUACAGUCGGAAACAAAUUCCGGUAUCUCGCCCAGGUGGGCUCCUUAAUAUAUUGUCCAUGACUUCAGGAGGCUCCUCAUCUCGUUUUAAAUUUCUCGAAUAUUACAUUGAAAGUAAUCACGAGAUUGUAGUAAUAGUACAAUAUUAUUCUUACUGGAUUUUAUUUUAUCAUACUUUACUCUUUGGCACAACCAUGCAGUAGGAUCGUUUCUUGUGUCAAUAAUUUUUGAUUCGGUCCCUCUUGUGUGGAUCUUUUCGUGUGAAUGGCUGUAUCUGUCCAUCGUCUACACGUGGCACUGGUAGUACUAUUAAAUUACCUUGGUUACGUCGGUGUUCCCGCGUGAGAAUUGAUUAAUUAAUUAGGAGAAGAGAUCAGACAGGAACAAGUGAAAUUUUUAUAUCAGGGCAGGAAAAGUGCAGCUUUGGAUUAGGCAUCCAUCCGCACUAGGUGUUGGGCACGUAGGUGAGUACUCUUGUUUAACCCAGCGAUAUCUUUGGCGGCAUAUGCAUAAAUCUAUCUACUUUUUUUUAAGAAAGAACCAUGGGGACAAGAAUUGAACUGCUAUUUACACGGCUGACUUGAUUUUCACUCAAAUGGUGUAGCAAAUAAAACUUGUAUUUACGACCUCCGACCCAAAUCUUUACAUUAUUCUCAAUUUCAUAUGUACAUCACAAAAAUUACCGUUUGGACAAAGUCACGUGUGUGUGUGUUAUAAGGACCAUAUCAGUCUCCAAAAUACCGCUCCAGUUUGUUUUUCUAGACCCGGCAGCAGCGACGCUUCACGCCUCAUCCUUUUUGGGACGUUGUCGUGGAUCCUAGAUGUCUUCGGUCGAACCUCGACAAGAUGUUAGGCUUGUUCUCGUUUCACGUUCAUCCUUUGAUGUACUUUGUAAGUGAGCCUCCCCAUCAUGUUGUACCGUUCGGCCGAAUACUUUGUUGUGUUGUUGUUGUAUAUAUGAAUCGGUGCAAAAACUUGUUUCGAGAGUAGCUUAUAUGUAAACCUGUUUCUUGCCUUCUGAAAAAAAGAAUAAAAAAAGAACAAACCCGCAAAAAAAAGGAGAAAAAAAGAAUAAAAUCGCUGCGCCGCAGCUUGCCUUGUGAGCUCUUUUUUCUCCUCGAGAAGGCCAAAGGCCACACAUCGUCCGUGCGCGAUUCCGUUGUGCGGUUGCGGCCGGUCGUGGAAUCGUACGUGCAUGGCGAAAACCAGCGGCGAUGGCCGGCGUCCGUCCGUUGUUGCAGGAUGGAUCCCUCUCCCUUUCCGCUCCGGCCGGCCGGCACCUUUGCCUUUGCACCUUCUUUCUUUUCCUUUUUUUGUUGCUCUUCGUAUCAUAAUACGUGUGUGAAACAAACUAACGAGGACGGCCGUCCGUCCAUGGCGGGCAGAGACCAGCUGCAUUGCAUGGAUGGAUUCGGACGGCGACGACGGGAUCGGAUCCACGACGUACGCCGACCGGCCGCCUCCAGAAGACAGACCCUCCAUCGCUUAUAGAUAGGCCAUUAAUAGACGGACCCUCCUUGAACGAAGAUAAACACCGGACCAAGUCUAGACGUGUGCCAGCGAGUAUACGACGGUGCAUGGCGACCGUUGACUCACUCACUCACCCUUUCAAGGCAGCCAAGAGAAAAUCCAUUCAGUUCGGGUCUCCGUCGGUCGUCGAAGGAUCCACCAGAAGUCUAUGUCGGCCGGAUCCCCAAGGGCCUCCUGUAGACACAACUCCACAAGCCCCCCGCCGAUGAAAAAACACACCGAUGGAAUGUGGAUUGUGGAUUGGGCAGAGAGAAUAUUAUUCCUCCUAUGGGACUACGCCACCGCUUCACAUCCCCAAACUAACACGAAGACUCUUUAAAGAGAAACUGAAAAAAAUUACCCAUACUGUUGUAUGACAGGUCUGGGGCUCCGACGACGAGCUCACCGCCAUCUAAAACUAUGCACCGACGCCCACUUCUCGAUCUAGCUAGGCCGGACCACCGAUGAAGAACUCUGUGCUGGAUCCUUCGGCCGCCGCCGCCACGCACCGCAUGACGAAGGACAUCCCUCGGGCACACAUGUCCUCAGGCUUUGCUCGGCGACGCGCCCUUACGGCAGCGAGAGGGUUUGAUGAAGGGUUGGCGGCUAAGUUACAUGGCCGUCUACGUCCUCGCCUCUUCGAAGAAAAACAAUUCGUGCAACUGAUAAGGUGCAUGUUCUAUUUCCCUUUCUCCGUUGUUGUUGCACUUUUCCCUUUAAUAUUUGUGUGUGAAAAGAACCAUGUAUUGUUUUCCCUCAAAAAGUAAAAAGAAGAAUAAACAUGGGCGGGUGGUGCAUGGGCGGAUUUGGACUGUGACGACGGGCGGACUGGACCGUCGAUGUAUGCCGUCCGCCUGGCUACAACACUAAGGGUAAAGUUUUUGGUUUGCCUUGAAGUUGAAUUGAAUUCAUCCUUUUCCCGUUUUCUUGUUUUUAUUUUAGAACUAGUAAUGACAAAGUAUACUAGCCCGGUGCAAAAACAACAUAUAAUAAUGCUGAAAGUACCACCACUCCAUCCGUUCAUUAACUUAUGGUGUAAACCGAAUUUCGUCAACAACGUUUGACCAGAAUUGUUUUUUUUUUGCAAGUACCAAUUGCGCUUUCAAUAUAGGAUUUAUAUGCUACAAAAGCAUGUCUAUUCGUACAUAAACUGCACAUUGAUGGGGUAACUGUUGAUCAAAUCCAUAUAUUUGCUACCCUAAAUAUGACGAGAAGAAAGGCGCGAAUACUUUCGCAUGUUUUUAAAUUACAAAGGUUGUUGUCGUGAACAUUGGCAUAAUUUGUCGAGUAUAACUUUGGCACUAAUCAACAGAUUCUAAUUGUACAGUUUUAUUCUUAUAGGAUUUAUUUUAUCAUGCUAGCUCUUUAAAUCGACGGCACACAUUUCACAAUCCAUAAAAAAGGGAAAAAUGCAUGAUCCUAUAUUUCUUUGUUGUGUCAGUCGUUUUCUAUUUUUGUGUUGAUCUUUUGUGUCAGUUGGUUGUAUCUGUUCUUCGCGGACAGGUGGCAGUACUAUUAAAUCGCCUUGAUUGUGCCGACUGUUCCCAUGUGAGAAUUAAUUAGAUUAGACAGGAACAAGUGAGAUCUUGAGAGCAGACAGGAACAAGUGAUGUUUAUAUAUCAGGGAAAAAAGGGGUGCAACUUUGGAUUAGGCAUCCAUCUGCGCUAGGUGUCGAGCACGUACGUAAGUACGUACUCUUGUUUAAUCCAGCAAUAUUUUUUGCACCAUAUAUACAAAUCUACCUCUUCUUCGGCAGUAACCAUCAGACAAAUACGCACUUGUUCUCUACGCGGCUAAAUCAGAUUUUACUACAUGUAUGUCACAAGUAAUGGUUUGGAGAUAUUUUCAGUCAAUUAAAAAACCUUGAAAAGAUUGAAAUUUUAGAAACCAUAUGCACGGGAUUUAUGGAAUCUUGUAGUUUCUCUUACUUUCUAUACAAAUAUUAAAAAACGAAUUACUGGUGUACAUCUUGAAGACUGGUCAAUGUUCAAAUAGCAGUACAGGGAGUAUAGUUUAUAAAUUGUGAUGCUAAUUUGUACUACUCCACCCAGCACAUGAAAAGUGAUGCUCCCACUUUUGAGUGCGGCAUUUUAAAGACUGGUCCCUGGUGUGCCUGGAAUUCAGAAAUAAUAAUAAUAAACUCUAUAUAGAAGUUUUUAAAAAGUUUUUUUCCUGUAAAUACAAAUGCAUUUUCUCUAUAUACCUGCAAAGUUGGACCGAAGUUGAAGCACUUAUUUUGAGACGAAGGGAGUAUAACGAUUUGUAUGGAUUUAUUUCAGGAUUUCGGCGAUGCGAUUUCAGUGGGAAGAGACGUUCCUGUCGACGACGAGACGCCUAGGCUGACUUCGUAAAUCUCAAGAUGAUAUGCCGGCUCAAUCUCUCGAAGGUGCUCAUAGGGAUAUGGUGUGCGUGUGUGCGUUCAUGGGGUGAGAGCAACUCUAGCAGACCCCGCAUCCCGCCGGCCCACAAAACGCGUUUGCAGUUCACGCAAAACCGCUUUUGCGGGCCGGCACGGGCUGGCACAGAUGCAGACCCCCCAAACGGAUCCGUAAAAAAGUAUAUUCGCGGAAUAUGCUUUUCUACGGGUCGGCUUCUGCGGGUUCUGCUCGGGCACCACCGCGACGACCCGCAAACAGAGAAACUGCAAAUCUCACAUUUGACAUAGGGUUUCACAAACAAGUUCAAAUUCAAACGACAUAAACAGUUUUACGCGCAAAUAAAAGCCAAGAUCAUUACGGCAAACGCAAAAGAGGGCCCUGCAAAGGUUUGCGCGCAUGUCCGCAUCAUCUUGGGGGUCGAUCUUCACUCCGCGCCAUUGAGUCCAUCUUGAAGUUUAUCGGCGCUACCGAAUCCACCCCCGUCGCUUGUUCCAACUCCCGCACCGAAAUCAUCUACAUUGCCACCAUAUGGAGCAGAGAAAAUAUCACCGGAGCUGUAACACGGACCGGCCGAGGCGACCAUUCUAAAAAGCUUGAUCUUUCAAGAUCGUGUAGUUCUUCGAUCUUUGGCUUUCCCCAGUUUUUGCUUGCGAUUGCUCAUACGCUUCCGCUUCGAUCUCCUCCAAUUCGUCCGCACAACCAUGAUCAUCCACGCCGCCCUCCAUUUCAUUGUAGUCGAAUGGUUCGAAAGGGGCUUGAUUAAUGUCAACCGCGUUCGUGUCCAACAAGUUCACGAACUCGGUUGUUGCAUUGUUCGAACCACCGCUAUAGCGAACGAUAACAAGUCACGAGCUAUCGAGAAUAUUGACGAAAAAUGAAAGGGAAUCGCCAAGACCGAAGACGCAUACCUUCCGGCCAUUUCGUCGAACACCUCGCUCGCGGGGGGAGCGGCACCGUUGAACGGCAUCGCCGAGCACCUCCUUGCGGGGGGAUGGAGUGAGAGGUUGAAGAAGGUGGCUUCCUUGAAGCCGGAACCUUCCUCCGCUUUACGCCCGCGGCCUUGCCGACCUUCUCCGCCGCCGGCCGGGAUCGCGUUGCCGCGUUGGCGCCCGGAGCGCGGGCCAUCGCAGCGGGGCAGCCGGAUUCCCGCCCUGCACGACCACGUUGCCCUGCCGCUUACGGGAAGGCGUGGCGUGUGCUUGGGCGACGGAGGCGGGGCCAACAUGGCCGGCGACGAGAUCCGCCCGAGGGAAAGGAGCCUGCACGACCUCGACGGUGACGGGGGACGGCAUGGGGUCGUCCAUGGUGGCGAGGAACGGCCGGGGAGAGGAAUCGGAGCUUGCGGAGGGGGGGCAAUGGUGGCGGAGGGUGCGGGGAGCGGGAAAGGGCGCGCGGAAAUGUCCCUCCCGCCAAAUCAUGCGCCGGAUAGGGGUUGAGCUCGGGUCGGCCUCCCAGCCCGUGAAGAUAGAGGUUGGGGGAGAAGAUUUGCCGCGCCCUGCAAAUAUAUUUGCGGGCCGGGGCGGGAUGCGAAGUCUGAUCGUGCAGAUUUUUCGGCCCCGACCCGCAAUUUGGCGGUUAUUUUGCGGGCCGGGGCGGGAUGCGGGGUCUGCUAGAGUUGCUCUGAGUGUGCACGUAUCAUUGAACGCUUGCGUUUGUACUGUGUUAAGAAAAAGGAAAAAAAAUGCAGGCACAAAUACGACAAAAUAACAUUUCGAUCCACAUGUUCGUUCUUUUUAUGCACAGUGCACAUGAAAUAUUUGUCGACGAAAUCUCUUAUACACGAGCCACACAUAUGUAUGUCUAUGUGUAUGCAAAUCGUCCUCCUCCAGAAUUUUUGUACUAGGUGUAGAAAGAAUGUUUUGGAUUGGAGAAACGAAAAAGGCUACUUCUCCAAACGCGCUUCAUCGUGCUCUGGACAUGCUAAAGGUGGCGAGUGCGCGGGAAUAAAUGACAAUGAGGCGGCCGCGGUGCACGCGAUUCCGUUGUGCGAUUGCGGCCUGCAAAGCUCGCCGUGUGUGCGUGCGUGCACGGCAAAACCAGCAAUGGCGGGCGUCCGUCCGUUCUUGUAGAACACAUCCAUUUCCCUUUCCGACCCCUUUGCUUUCGCAAGUUUCUUUUCAAGAAAAUAAAAAAUUUAUCUUCAUGUGUGAAGAACAAACGUGGAUGACCGUCCAUGCAUGACGAGUAAGACAUAUGCAUGUGCAAUUGUGCAUGGAUGCAUUCGAACGGCCAGGAGCAAUGUCGUGGCUUUUAGGCAAUGACUCCCCUCCGCCAGCGACGCCGUUGCCGGCCCCGUCAUCCCCUUUCUCCGGCUGGGUCGUCGGGCACAAUUGCACAUGCAAGCAAGCUCUUUAAAUCAAUGUCACACAUUUCACAAUCAAUAAAAAGAAAAGAAAAUGCGCGAUCCUUUCUUUCUCGUGUCAAUCGUUUUCGAUUCUAGUAUAUUGUGCUGUCUUUUCUGUUUGUGUCAGUGGAUGUGUCCGUUCUUUGUCGACACGUGGCAGGGCGCACUAUUAGAAUUUCAUUGGUCAUGCCGGUGCUCCCAUGUCCAUGCAUGUGCGUUUCUUGGAUCUUCCAUCCUCCCAUCGAGUUCUCUCUGAUAAUAAACGUACAAGAGCGCGUAACGUAGGUUCUUUCCCGGCGGGAUGGAGGGAAAGAAUCUUGAUCAAGUGACUGACUGACAUAGUACAAGAGCGCGUAAGGUAGAUUAUGCUAUCUCUCGGCCGCCAUUGCUGCCCCGCCACCGCGAGCUCCGGCCCAUCUUUCCCGCCCUUCUUCGCCGCCAUGAAAGCCUCCCAGCCGGCCCCCGUUACCGUGGAGGUCGCACACGCGCAAUCCCCUCCGGUGGAUCUCGUCGCCGGCCAUGUCGCCCCCGCCGUUGCCCAAGGCCCCAACGCGCCUGCCCGCAAGCGGCAGGGCAACGUUGUCGUGCAGGCGGCAAUCCGGCUGGCCCCGCCGGAAAGCCACGCGCACCGGGUCCCGCCGCCGCCGCGCAAUCUGCCCGGUCGCCGGCGGAGAAGGUGAGCAAGGUUUCGGGCGUGAAGCGGAAGAAGGCUCCCAUGAAAAGGCAGGCGCAUUCGUCCAGUCCCUCUGCUCCGGCGAGAUGUUCCCCGACGAUGCCGUUCAACGGCGCUGCUCCCACCGCAGGCGAGGUGUUCGAUGAAAUGGACGGAAGGUAUGCAUCUUCAAUCGUUUGUUCUUGCUUCGCUUUUCGCCAUUGUGGUUGUUCAUGACUUGAUGUCACUAAAUGUAGUGGUGGUUCGAAAAAUGCCACUGCCGAGUUCGUGAACUUGUUGGACACCAACGCCGUCGACAUCGAUCAAGCCCCGUUCGCUGAUUUCGAUUACAAUGAAAUGGAGGGUGGCGUGGAUGAUCACGGUGGUGAAGAUGAAGUGGAGGAGAUGAUGGCCCAAGAAACUUGAACAAGCCUGAUGGUGACAAGAAGACAAAGGAGAAGAUCAAGAGGGAACACGAAGCAUCGAGCUUGCGGGACAAGAUAGAUGUCAUGGUGCAAUACCGAAAAAGGGUUUCCCCCCGCUUUGUAUACAAAGCAACCGUCAUGGUGCAAUCAAAUGAGUUGAUGUUAGUGAAGACAUUGGAGGCAAAGAAAGUGUUGGCCGAGAAGAAGGCACGAGAGAAGCAAGAGAAGUAGCAAUUGCUCAAGGACGAGGGGUUGCGCAAGGCGGUCAUUGAGGAGAGAAGAGCACGUGCCGCUGAGAACAAAGCCAUGUCCAAGCUUCUUGCCGAAGAGAAUAGGAUCAUGACAAUGAACCGCAAUGACAUGGACGACAUCACCAAAGAAUAGCAUGAUAUGGCAAGGAGAGACAUCUUGAAGAGGAGGAUGGUUGCGUCGGCCGGUGCUUGUUACAGUGCCGACGAUGUUUUCUCAUCGGGAUUUGGAACCAGUAUCGCCGACGCAUACUGUGCGCUGGCCGGUGAUUUCGGUGCCGGAGUUGGAACAAGUGCCGGCGAUGGAUUCGGGGGCGGCCAUGACCUCGAUGGAGGUGGUGCGGAGUGAAGAGCGACCAAGAUGAUGACGGGCGUGGUCGUCGUUUUUGCAAGUCCUUUUGCGUUUGUCCUACAAAACUAUGCUUUUAUUUGCGCGCGAACUAUGUUUUAUUGUUUGAAUUUGAAUUCAUUUGUUGGAAUCGCUGUCAAAUUCGCUUAUUGGGGGUUUUCGGUUUGCGGGUUGACACGGCGGUGCCCGAGCAGACCCCGUAUAGCCGACCCGUAACAAAGCAUCUUCCGCGUAUAUCCUUGUCUGACUCUGCCCUCGCCCUCGCCGGCCCGCAAAGAUGUUUUUCCGUAAACUGUUAACGCGUUUUGCGGGUCGGCGUUAUACGGUGUCUGCUAGAGAUGUUCUUACUCCCUUUCGUUCCCUAAUGUAAAAAACAUUACUAGUGUUAGAAAAGUCUUGCAUUAUGAGACGGAGGAGUAUGUUGUAAACUUGCAAUGAUGAUGUUUUGAUUUGGACAGGCCGCGGCCCGAGCCUCCCCGGCUUGACACGCGUACGCGGUAUGUCGCUGGGUGGUCGGAUGCCGACCAAGUGAUGCCGACAGACACGACACGGUCGAUCGUUUUAAUUAGCGAGACAAGACUAACGUGUAUACUGCAUCUGCUAGCUUGGGACGGCGACGACGUACGUGAGCGUUGGGUCGAAGCCUGCCGGCACCGCCGACGUUACGCACGCCAACUCUCCUUCAAAGAAAGAAAACAGGUGGCGGGCACUGUCGGCAAGUCCAGUCAAAGUCUAUAGAUGCAAGCGACGGUGGCAACCGACCGUUUCAAGGUGCUUCGCGUAGGGGUGAACUUUGCAGGGCACUGACCGCGUCCAUGCAUGCGUGCGUCUGUCUCUUUCCAUUCACAACAAACUUUUUUUUUGUGCAUUCACAACAAACAUUCAUAAAACUGUUCUAUCACGUAGUAACACUCCAUAAUGCAUUCACAUAUGCUCAAUUAACCCAGACCCAACAUGUACAACAAAGUUCCCGAUUCUAAAAGGUUGAAUAAGCGCCCCGAGUAGUAAACUCGUAUUUUUCAUGUCGUCUCUUCUUUUUCGAACCGAGUCUAUGAUAUCUUUUUGAUCAUGUGUGUCUUAAUUCUAUCUUGGUCAAAAUUCUGUAAUUAAGGCAUAAAUAUAAGAAGAUUUGUAAAUUGCCGAUCCCGCCUGCCGCCGGAUAUUAAGGUAUAAAUAUGAAUACACAUAAAUUGGGUGAACCUAAUUUGGAAUGAUUAUGCCUUACCAUUGUAGAUGCCGUGCUAUGUGAUAUUGAGGGAGGGGGUACUGCACAACCAACAAGCAGUGCGUUGUUGCGAUCGUCCCAUCCAGGCGAGGCUUCCAACCAGGCUCACACCCCUUUCCAUUAAUUUCUUAACGGAAAUAUAUCAAUACAAGUAGUUCAUCCCAAGUAAUGGAUCUGGAAAAAGAAAUCGAAGGGGGCGGGAAAGGGAGGGGCGAGUUGGAGCAAUAGAUGGAAACCAACCACUGUGGAUGCUCAAACUCGAGGUAUCCACCACGGGGUGAAACCUGCUAACACUACAUAUCUCGACAGUGUACCAAUACCCAAAAGUCUCAAAAGCCACUAGGCAUUACAGACUACACACACAUGUAUGUGUAUGUUUAUCUUUUUUGUAGAAUAUAUAUUUGUAGGUGCAAAAACAAAUUUUUUACAUUGAAGAAACUGAAAAGACUACCUAGAGCCCGGUCUCCAGACGCACUUGAUCGUGCUAUGGGCAUGCUAAAGGUAGCGAGUGCGCCGGAAUAAAUACGCACGAUCGCAGCCUGCAAAGCUCGCCAUGCGUGCGUGCAUGGCAAAACCAGCAAUGGCCGGCGCCUGUACGUGUAGAACAAACCGACAAAAGUGCAUGGAUGGAUGUUGAUGGCGACGACCUACCCCGGCCUGGCCAUCUCCAAAAGACAGAGUGUUGGAUAAAAUUAGGACAUGCGAGCAGGGCCGGUCCUAGGCAAGGGCAGUAAGGGGUGAUGAUGGCCCUGGGCCCGGCCAAACAAGGGCCCUGACCCAGGGGUGCCCCUAUGUCUCGCUUGACGCGAGACGAAGCGAGCUCCGAGCGCCCCAUAUCCUAUUAGGCGUGUUAAGCGUCAGUUACAGGCAAUUGUGCUAACUGGCGCACACCCCCUCCCGGCACUACGUGAAAAAUGGGCUGGCCAUAUAGGUUUUUCCCCACAGUUUUUAUUCCGCGAGGUUUUUCUAGGAGUUUUUUCCCUGUGGUUUUUGCUGGCAUGGGUUUUACUCGGUUUUCCUUUUCCUUUUUUGUUUUCUUUUUAUUUUUCUUUCUUUUUCCAAUGGGUGAAUUCUUUUCGAAAAAGCUUUUUGCACGUUUAUGAGAUUUUAAAAUUUUCCAAAAUUUUCAAAUUCGUAAAAUUAUCAAUUUUCUAUAAAAUUUCCCCAAAUUAUGAAAAUUGUUCAAGUCAUGAAGUUUCUUCAAAUUCGUGAUUUUUCAAAAACUAUUUUUUCUAUAGUUUCGUUAUCUUUUUUUUAAUUUCGUGAUUUUCUUUCAAAUUACAAUCUUUUUAAAACCUCUUUGUGAACACUGUUUCCAAAUUACUGGCUUUUAAAAAAAUUGAAAAAUUUCCAAGUCUUCAAUUGUUUUCAAUUUUCUUAUUUUUUAAAUUUCAAACUUUAUUUUAAUUUUUUGUGAACAGUUUUUGUCUGAAAAGUCAACGGUCAACUCUCCUUGGCAGUUGUGUGCAUUCGAAUUUUUCUGUUUGAUUCGGUUAAGUUUAUACGAUUUUUAUACUUCGGUUUAUAUGGUAUUAGUAUUAUACAUAGAUAUAGUUCGGUUUUGGUAAUAACCAUUUACUUUUGUUUGGUUUCGUAAAUAACCAAAUUAACCAAAGUUGAUGUGAAUUUUUGAGCUCAUAAUUUUUCACGUGUAAAUACAUGAUAUAUAUAAUAAUGAUAAAAAACAAUUAAAAAAUGAUAAAGAAGAGACAAUCGAUGGGCGCUGGUCCACUAGGUAAACAAUUUAAAAAAUUCAGAUGGGCUGGCCCAUAUACUCGCGUGCGUCAGCGCCCGUUCCUUUAACUGGCGCCCAAGGUGACAUUUAGGAGGUGUCUGGGAGCGCUCGCAUCAGGCGUUGCGACCGGGCCGACCCAGGUAAGUUGCAGGUUAAUUCAUCCUUUUCUCUGUUUUUCACUAUUUUAUUUUUACAUUUAUUAUUAUUUUAGAAAAACUUGUAAAUACAUAUAUUUCGAAACAUAAAACUAAUUAAAAAAUAGCUAAAAUUUUUACUUUAUAAAAGUGAAAAGGCAAUGUAAAACAUUGUUAGCUUAAUUCAAAAAACGUUGAUAGCAUAAUAAAAUAGUUUGUGACAUUUUAAAAUGUUUAGAAGUUUUAUAAAAAUGUAUGUAACACUAUAAAAAUGUUAAUAAAUAUUUCAGUUGUAUAUAUAUAAAGUCAGUUGUAUAUGAAAAAUAUACGGUGUUUAUGAAAAAAAGUAGACAUCAAAUUAAUCGAGUACAAAAAUGUUCUUGAUGUAUAUAAGAAUGUAGAAAUCAAAAGUGAUUAUUAAAAAAUGUUGAAAUAAAAAAUGAUUAUUAAAAACAAUGUUAAUUCUGUAUUUUAAAAUUUCAUAACAUGUAUAAAAAUGUUAUUGAUGGUGUAUAUGAAAAAUUUACAUUGCAUGUGUACAAAAUAUGUAUUCCCAUUUAAUAAUGUUCACCAUUUAUUUGAAAAGACUCCAGUGCAAAUCUAAUGUCGGAUUUUUUUUACCAUGGCAAAUCGACCAUUUUUUAGGGCAAAUUAUGCUCUCCGAGGAUGGCAAGUUUAGUCGACGAGCAUGAAUAAUCCACUUUGGUUUACUUUUUUGUCAGAAAAUUGUCGCGCUUGCAAACUAAAUUUGCCAUCAUCGCGCAAAUAUAAAAUGCCAUGAAAAACAUCAUUAUUUUUCAUGCCUAAAAAUUGGACUUCAAUUUUUGUGUGUUUCCGUUGAAAAAAUAUUUACCAUAUAGUAAUAGAAGUGUUCAACAAUGUAUUAAGAAAAAAUGUUCUAAAAAGUUUCCUCUCGUUUUCCUCCCUAACCCUAGGUAGCUAAGGCAAACUCUCCGCUCUAGACUUCACCGGGGAGCGCGGGGAGGGGAAUCCCGUGCCUUCUCUCCGGUUAUUAGUUUAGGCUUUAGUCAUUGCAGGUGCGGCGCUCAGACGGAUGUCGACGCUACUUUUUCGAGUUUGUCUUUCGGACUCUGAUCGUCCUCGAGUUCAUUUGUUUGGACGUAGUCGACGGAGCUCCAAUGUAGACUCUCCUGCCAUCUCCUUAGGGCGAUGAGGUUAUGGUUUCUCGUCAUGUGGCGAGAUUUGGUGUGGAGUGCUUAAGAUCUAUGUAAGGGUUCAACGUCGACGACUGCGGCUCCAGGGCGCUGGUCCUUAGGGGUACGUGCACGAAAACUUCUCGACUAUCAUCGGCAAGGUAAAGCCAGGUCCAGUAGAGGAGCGGCGACAACGACGUGUCGGUGGCAUAUUCUGGUGGUGGUAGUGGUCGUUCAUUGGUCUAGGAAUCUCGAUGUAAUUCUUUAUUAUCUUUGAGAUGCUUUGUACUUCCGCUGAAUUUUUGUAAUAGAUUUGAUUUUUUUCACAGAAAACAAAACAAAAUAUUCCGUGUGGACUCUAAAAAUAUACAUUGUGCAUUGAAAAAAAUAGGUAUGUGUUGAACAGAGAAAAAAUCGAUGAAAAAUGACAAAAGAAUAAAGGAAACCAAUAAAAACUGAAAAAGGAACAAAAAAGACGAUGAAAACCAAUGGAAAAGAACGAAAACAAUGAAAACGGAGAAAUAUUUUGUUGGUUUAGUAGAAGAUGCCAAAUUUUGGUAGUUCGGUGACAUAUAUGAUGAACUCCUAUAUGCUAUGUGUGUGAUCCAGAUGAACUACAUGUGUUAAUUUUAACGUUGCACAACAGUGUAUAGAUCUAAAGAUUUGCUUAUUAGUUACACGGAGGUGAACAAAUGAACGGUAAUUGCACCCGGCGAACGUUCGUUGUAAGGAAGGUGGCAAGCGAACCAUCUUUGUUGGCAGUUUUAGUUGUAAAACAAGAUAAACGACAGCAGUUUUUAAACGAAAAUUGCCUUCUCGGGAAGAAAAUGUGUCAUGUCUUCCUCCCCACUUGGUCACAACUAAAACUGCCAUUGAAUCGUUCGUAUGUGCCAUUGCCAGGUCCUCUGGCGAACGUUCGCCAGUUAGGAGGGUCCCAAAUGAAAAGUUCAGCUCUUAAUUUGCAGUCGAGAUCGCCGAGAAGUACAUGUGCCAUGACCCUGGCGGCACGGCGAUGUCUCCUUCGUCGGAACCUACGUACACAUGGCCAAGAAAUCACAGAUGUCACGACCUUAAUUUCGUUUGUGACAAGUCAGUCCCGUCAGCUGAAGAAAACGCACCCACGACCUUAAAUGGAAUCGAUGGAUAUGAGCAGUUCAGAAAUAGAGAGGGGGCAUGCGUUGUUGGACGGAAGGAACGCCGCUCCCCGGCCUCCCAUUCCCAGGUUGGAUGCAUGCAUCUGCAUAUGCAUAGGCCUAAUCCGUCUCCGAGUUUUAACGACUCCCCGGCGUUUCCGCCACUCGCGUAAAGCAACGUAACGUCGACGACGACGACGACGAUCCAUCUUCUUCUCCCCCGGACCGGGACCCAUCUUCUUCCUAGCUCCUCGAUCUCAUCGAUCCAUGGAGCGCCUGCUUGGGCUGCUCAAGGUGAAGGUGGUGCGCGGGCUGAACCUGGCCAUCUGCGACCCCCUCUCCCACAGCAGCGACCCCUACGUCGUCAUCCGCCUCGGACAGCAGGUUCCUACUUCUUCUCGUCCAGCCUCGAGAUCAAUCGAUCGAUCGAUCAUCAAGUAGGAGUAAUAACAAUGGGCCGAGUGCAUGCUACAUCUAAAAUUCAUGCAUGCUUCAUUCUUCAAUUUCACCCGACGGCUAGCACCAAGCAGAUGAUCGAUUCUGAUCUGCUUGGUGCUAGCUAUCCGAGGAGGAUGAAACAAGCAGAUGAUCUAUUCAGAUCUGCUUGUUUGUUUCUUCAAUUUCAUUCAUGUGUAAUCGAUUCAGAUCAACAAUUAAAACCCCUCUCUCUCUCUCUCUCUCUCUCUCUCUCUCUCUCUCUCUCUCUCUCUCUCUCUCUCUCUUUUUACCCGGCAUUUAUUUUCUUUUCAUGUAAAUGUGCAGAAAGUGAAGUCGAGCAUCAAAUAUAAAACCAUCAACCCAGAAUGGAACGAGGAGCUCACCCUGUCUAUCACAAACUGGACGCUCCCCGUCAAGAUUGUAAGUUUGAUCAACAUCUCCCUCCCAAUCAGGAUUUCACAAACUCACCGCCAAUAUACUCUACUCCGAUGAUAGAACAUUUCAUAUCUCUUAGCUCCUCAAACCAACCUUUGGGAUCUUAUUCUGUCACAGGAAGUCUUUGACCACGACACUUUCACCAAGGAUGACACCAUGGGCGAUGCAGAGUUCAGCAUCCUCGACUUUGUCGAGAUCGCCGUCAAGGACCUGACCCAUGUCCGUGAUGACACGGUGAUGAAGACGUUCCAACCUAACGAGGAGAACUGCUACUCGGCCGACAGCCACAUCAUGUGGAAAGACGGGAAGGUCACUCAGAAUAUGGCCCUCAAGCUAAGGAACACCGACACUGGCGAGCUCAUCAUGCACCUGGAGUGGGUUAACCUCCCCCCAGGCAUGUCGCGGUGAUUUGAUUUGAUUUGCAAAGGGAGGCCAGCUAUUGCCUUCCUUUUGUGAUCGUAAUGUUGCUUCCUCUAUAUAUGAGCUAUGAGAAUAAUUAAGCGAUGUCUAUCCCAUUCUUUACAUAACACCCACUGUAAUGAUUUGUGGAUCUCACACCAGGAUGGUGCGUCUAUAAUAUGAGCAACGUCUUGGUGAGACCCACACAUCAUCACAGUGGGUGCUACGUAAGGCAUGUGAUAGACUUAUGCUACUGGGGGUAAUGCUUGCUUUCAGUUUUGGUUCUGCAUAUGUUGUAUGGCUAUUUUAAUUAAAAAAAGGUAUAUUUUGUCCUAAGAUACUUGUAUAUAUAGUCUCUCCAUGUUAAUUUGCUAUAUCGAUCAUAUUAAUUUUGACCUUACUGAGUAUACAAGUCAUGUCAGAUUUUGCUCAGAACAUCUCCCUGAACCUUGAUAUGUAUAUGACGAGACUGGUACGUUACCGCUAACAGAAUAUUACUCUAUUGACGUUUUCUUUUUUCCCGAGAAUGAAAGAAAGGCUCCCACGCGAUUAGGGUUUCCUCGCCGGCACCGCCGCCGAUCUACCUCGUCUCAUGUGGCCUUAGUGCCAUGGAGGCAUGAUGGAUCUCGACCCUUGAUGGCGGGAGGACCCACACUUCAUUUUUAGUCAUUUUAUCGCACACCAUUCAGUGAGCAUUGUUUUAUGUGCAUUGGGUUUCUUAAUUACUUUUUCCAAUCGAGAAUAUUGGUGAAAUAUGACCCUAUUCAUAUCAGGGAGAUGGACAACUAAGAGCAUCUCUAGCUGUUGGAGCCCCCAAGAACACCACCGAACCAAAAAAGUUGGUGUCUUAGGGGGCAAAUGCUCCAUCCGGCCGAAAUAGGAGUGCAUGGGGAGGGCAUCAUCCCAGCCACACCCCACCCCAACCAAAAGUUUGUGAGGGAAAAGAUUAAGUGGGCAAGACAAAGGACAUGUGGGGAGACACGAUUCGCCGAAAAUCCCGCUGGCGCCCCCAAGAGCCCCCCAACGCAUUGGGUUUCGCCUGGGUUUUCCGGCGCUAUUUUGACGUCGGGGGGGGGGGGGGGGGCGCUGGGGGCGUGGCUAAGCCGUUUUUCGGCAAAAAAAUGUCACCGAGCCUAAAAAGGUGUCCUGGGGGUGGAGAUGCUCUAAUAUUUCAACCGAACGUUUCCUACCACGUAUAUCAAAGGCAAACAUGUGCCAAUAUGCUUUGCAAGCACACAAGUACCUGAAAUAAAAGGAAAUCAUACAGAUCAAUAGGGAAAUGGUUUUAAAAUCCAUAUAUGAGAUAGAAGAAAAUACAAAUAAGCAAAGAAAAUUACCUAUACUUGAUAAAUUCCAAUAUCUCAUUUCUACCAGUUGGAACACCUAACACCUAGGGCAACAAACGAUGGAGGCCCGAACACAGGUCAAAAUCUUACGCAAGCAAAAUCAUGGCCUUUAAUAAGAUAGUCGAAUAGGUACUUCAACAAAUUCGUCUUGUAUACAGGCCUAGACCUCUUCAGCAAGCCCAAAUGAUGUGGUACAACCCAACGAUUAUCAAGCUUGACCCUACCUUUUCUCUUAGUACAUAAUGUCCCGAUAAGCAGUAAAAAUAUUUUCAUCAAUUAUUAUUUCUUCGUUGUCGGAGCUAAACCCAGCAGAUCCCAUGGCAGGGUGCCCUAGCGUAGCUAUUAGGUCGAAGGGAAAAUAAGGAGCAAUAUUUACCUAGUUCGGGCCAUCGCGAUUGAGAUAAUACCCUACUCAUAUUCGUGCAUAUUGUGAUUGGGGUGUGUACAAAGUACAGAUGAAUACUAAGGGAUUGUAUGUUAUCACAUCAACGAGCUCCGCCACGAGCUUAUAUAACAUACCGGGGGUCCUAGGGGUACAAAUCCUAGCUGUUGCAUCGAUGGAGGUAGAUUCCUCCACGGCUUCGGUAUGUUCGGCUUGUACAACAAAUCUUCUAGAGUCUUUCGUAUAAUCAUCAUGGGUCGCACAACAUGGCCCAGGAUGAAACCAACCAAGGGGUCCUCAGCCCGACCCAACAGGGCAGGAAUCGUAGUGGUUCGAGGCCUACCCUAGGCUUGGACACCUCAUUCGUUAAAUUCAUUGAGAAAAAAAAUGCUGACUACGCCUUGUUUGAAUGCAUUCAUCUCUUUCCCGUCCGACUAACAACAAAAAUCAAUAGCAGGUCAACCUCUUUUUCUUCUUCACUUUUUCCUAAAUAAUGAUGUUUUGUAUUCUCUUCGUUCCAAAAUAAGUGACUCAACUUUGUACUAGUUUUAGUACAAAGUUAGUAUAAAGUUGAGUCACUUAUUUUAGGAAGGAGGAAGUAUUUCCAAAAAAUAUGAUGUUUUGUUUUCAUUUAUUCUGACAUUGAAUCUGUGUCGGAGACUAUGCUUUAUUGACAUACAUGGAUUUAAUUUUAUUUUGAGACAAAAGUACAUGUUUUGUAUUUUAUUUUAUUUCAUUGAGGAAAAUUUACAUUAUUUGAUUUAUUUUAUUUUAUUUAUUGAGGAAAAUUAACAUGCUGUUUUUUUUACCGAAAGGAAAAUUGACAUGCUUGGAUGGCCGAAUGCAGCCAAGGCCCGCACCGCUUAACUAGCCCUAACCUCUUAAGAAUGUUUCAUGGGCUUCCACUCACACAAAAUAAUCAAUGGGCUCUCUCUGGUCCCCGUGGUUAUGCUACUCGGGUUAGUACUUUCGCCUCCACAACAGACGCUUCACAACCUCCAAAAAAUACAAAAUUCUAACCUAGCAACAUUUCUCACAAAAAAUAUAUAUCUAACCGAGCAACUCUCUCUUCUCUGACCAAAUGAAAGACAUCUCAAAUAGAUCCAUUCUAAAAAGAACAUCGCAAAUACUCGACAAAUUCUUUAACACUGCCUCCACCCAGUUAUUAUUAUUAGUAUCACCAUCCAUAUCAUUUGUAUUCCAAAUGAAUGAUUAACUGUAUGUAGACUCAUUCCGGCAAAAUUUUGUAUGUAAAUACAUAACAGAGCCUACGAUGCGACCCAAAACUAUAUACGGGACAGGUCGCAUGUUCAUUAUUCCUUCCAUUCCAUGUAUCUAUAAUAUUAUCUCAGACAACCAUAACGCCUUUUUCUUUUCUCUCCUCCUGUCAGAGUGAGCGCACGCCGCGACGACCCCUCCCGGGACCAGGAGUGCGUUGCCCCGGGGCCAUCCAUCUCGGUGGAGAAACAAGAGUGCUUUGCACGCCGAAACGCCGUCAGAGUGCACGCGCCGAGGCCGGGGAAGAGAGCCUCAUCAAUGGUGGUGCUGCGAGAACGGCCACCAUCUCCUCUUCUUCGCCGUGUGAUGCAACCUCGGAGCAUCUGUUGGCAAAACCAUAGGACAGAGAGGGUUUCAGCGAUUACUGUUACCAGGCAGAGAUCGCGGUGUCGGUGUGGAAUGUUGGUUGCAUACGUUUGCGACGGGGACUGGACACGCAUUGCAUGUAUGCCAAUGGCAGGCAGGCAAGCAGGCCUGCAUAAUUUUCUCGAAGUGGCUGAGGCAAACAAGCAGAAUGGUUUAAUGUGUUGUCCAUGCCCUAUAUGUGGGAAUACGAAGUCUUACUCUGACCGGAAAAUUCUUCACACCCACCUGCUUUAGAAGGGUUUCAUGCCACACUAUAAUAUUUGGACCAGGCACGGAGAAAUAGGGGUUAUGAUGGAAGACAGCGAAGAAGAAGAGGACGAUGACAACUAUGUGCCCCCUGAAUACGGUGAUGCUGCAACGGGGGAAGCUGCUGAAGAUCAAGAGGAACCAGACGAUGUGCCCGAUGAUGAUGAUCUCCGCCGGGUCAUUGUCGAUGCAAGGACACAAUGCGAAAGUCAAAAGGAGAAGCUGAAGUUUGAUCGCAUGUUAGAGGAUCACAAAAAAGGGUUGUACCUCAAUUGCGAAGAUGGCAACACAAAGCUCGGUACCGUACUGGAAUUGCUGCAGUGGAAGGCAGAGAAUGCUGUGCCUGACAAAGGAUUUGAGAAGCUACUGAAAAUAUUGAAGAAGAAGCUUCCAAAGGAUAACGAGUUGCCCGAUAGUACGUACGCAGCAAAGAAGGUCGUAUGCCCUCUAGGAUUGGAGGUGCAGAAGAUACAUGCAUGCCCUAAUGACUGCAUCCUCUACCGCGGUGCGUACGAGGAUUUGAACGCAUGCCCGGUAUGCGGUGCAUUGCGGUAUAAGAUUAGACGAGAUGACCCUAGUGAUGUUGAUGGCGAGCCCCCCAGGAAGAGGGUUCCUGCGAAGGUGAUGUGGUAUGCUCCUAUAAUACCACGUUUGAAACGUCUGUUCAGAAACGAAGAGCAUGCCAAGUUGAUGCGAUGACAUAGAGAGGACCGUAAGAAAGACGGGAAGUUGAGAGCACCCGCUGACGGGUCGCAGUGGAGAAAAAUCGAGAGAAAGUACUGGGCUGGGUUUGCAGGUGACCCAAGGAACGUAUGGUUUGGUUUAAGCGCGGAUGGCAUUAAUCCUUUCGGGGAGCAGAGCAGCAAUCACAUCACCUGGCCGUGACUCUAUGUAUGUAUAACCUUCCUCCUUGGAUGUGCAUGAAGCGAAAGUUCAUUAUGACUACGCCUUGUUUGAAUGCAUCCAUCUCUUUCCCGUCCGACUCACUGCAAAAAUCAGUAGCAAGUCAACCUCUUUUUCUUCUUCUCUUUAUCCUAAAUAAUGAUGUUUUGUACUCUCUUCGUCUCAAAAUAAGUGUUGAGUCACUUAUUUUAGGAAGGAGGGAGUAUUUCCCAAAAAUAUGAUGUUUUGUUUUCAUUUGUUCUGACAUUGAAUCUGUGUCGGAGACUAUGCUUUAUUGACGUACAUGGAUUUUAUUUUAUUCUGAGACAAAAGUACAUGUGUUGUAUUUUAUUUUAUUCAUUGAGGGAAAUUUACAUAUGUUUUUCAAUGGAAGGAAAAUUUACAUUCUUUGAUUUAUUUUAUUUUAUUGAGGAAAAUUCACAUGCUGCUUUUAGCGAAAGGAAAAUUGACAUGCUUGGAUGGCCAAAUGCAGCCGAGACCCGCACCGUUUAACUAGCCCUAACCUCUUGAGAAUGUUGCAGUAAAAAAAAAACCUCUUGAGAAUGUUUCAUGGGCCUCCACUGAUGCAAAAUGAUCUUUUUUUUUUUGCGAAAGGACGCAAAAUGAUCAAUGGGCUCUCUCUGGUCUCCGUGGUUACUUCGUGCCACUCGGGUUAGUACUUCGGCCUCCACAACAUCGCUUCACAACCUCCAAAAAAAUGUUUUAACCAAGCAACUCUCUCUUCUCGAACCAAAUCAAAGACAUCUCAAAUAGACCCAUUCUAAAAAGAACAUGACAAAUACUCAACAGAUUCUUUAACACUGCAUUCACCCAGUUAUUAUUAUUAGUAUCACCAUCCAUAUCAUUUGUAUUCCAAAUGAAUGAUUAACUGUAUGUAGCCUCAUUCCGGCAAAAUUUUGUAUGUAAAUACAUAAACAGAGCCUGCAAUGCGACCCAAAACUAUAUACGGGACAGGUCGCAUGUUCAUUAUUCCUUCCAUUCCAUGUAUCUAUAAUAUUAUCUCAGACAACCAUAACGCCUUUUUCCUUUUCUCUCCUCCUCCUGUCAGAGCGAGCGCACGCCGCGACGACCCCUCCCGGGACCAGGAGUGCGUUGCCCCGGGGCCAUCCAUCUCGGUGGAGAAACAAGAGUGCUUUGCACGCCGGAACGCCGUCAGAGUACACGCGCCGAGGCGGGGGAAGAGAGCCUCAUCAAUGGUGGUGCUGCGAGAACG
RNAcentral lists this long non-coding RNA (65272 nucleotides) under Triticum aestivum (bread wheat). RNAcentral describes it as "long non-coding RNA (TAES_LNC013807)". Lineage: Eukaryota; Viridiplantae; Streptophyta; Magnoliopsida; Poales; Poaceae. The record is from RNAcentral.